GGCUUGAUCCACCUCAAUUCCCUUGGAGGAAAUCUUGUGUCCUAAGACAAUUCCUUCUUUUACCAUAAAAUGACAUUUCUCCCAAUUCAGUACAAGAUUUGCUUCCUCGCAUCUCUGCAAAAUCAAUUCCAAAUUAUGAAGACACUGAUCAAAAGAUGAACCAUACACAGAAAAAUCAUCCAUAAAUAUCUCCAUAAUUUUCUCAAUAUAAUCAGAAAAAAUAGCCAUCAUGCAUCGUUGAAAAGUUGCGGGAGCAUUGCAUAACCCAAAUGGCAUUCUUCUAAAGGCAAAAGUGCCAUAAGGACAUGUAAAUGUGGUCUUCUCUUGAUCCUCUGGAGUUAUAGCUAUUUGAUUAUAUCCUGAAAAACCAUCAAGAAAACAGUAAAAUUCAUAUCCAGCUAUACGCUCCAAUAAUUGAUCAAGAAAUGGUAAGGGAAAAUGAUAUUUUCUUGUUACCGUAUUUAACUUACGAUAAUCAAUACACACUCUCCACCCUACCACAAGUCUAGAUGGAAUUAAUUCAUCAUUUUUACCCACGAUUGUAGUCAUUCCAUCCUUCUUUGGUACCACAUGAAUUGGACUAAUCCAAACACUAUCGGAGAUAGGAAAAACUAUACCUGCGUCAAGCCAUUCAAGAAUUUCAUUUCUUACCACCUCUUUCAUGUUUGGAUUGAGUCUUCUUUGUGUUUCCACCACUGGUUUGCAAUUGUCCUCCAAUAAAAUUCGAUGCAUGCAUAUAGAAGGACUUAUACCUUUAAUGUCUGAAAUUGUCCAUCCAAUUGCCUUCUUACACCUUCUUAGAACUCUUAACAACUUUGCACACUGUUCAUCAUCAAGGUCAGCACUAACAAUUACAGGUAAAGUUUUAUUUUCUCCAAGAAAUUCAUACCUUAGAUGAGUCGGAAGUGGUUUGAGCUCUAACCUUGGAGGUUCAAUUUCUGAAGGUUGUGAAAACCCUUUUCCUUGGCCAAGACUUUCAUACAAAUUACCCCUUUUAUAAGGUGCUUGAAAAUCCAAGUACUUGGCCAAUUCUUCAAUUUCUUCACAAACAUCUUCUUGCUUACCUAAACUCAUUAAACAAUGCUCAAGAGGAUCUAAGUCAAGGUUGACUUGACUCAUCUCUUGGGUUAGUUUAUCAAUUGUGCCAAUAGAAUAAGCAUGAUUGGUAAAAGAAGGGUAUUUUUCCAUUUCAUUCAAAUUAAAUUCUACUUCUUCUUCACCUACUUGAAACUUAAGCUUGCCAUUUUUUACAUCAAUAAUAGUACCUGCAGUAGCUAGAAAUGGUCUACCUAGAAUAAUUGGCAUAGAUAUAUAUUCUUCCAUAUCUAAUACCACAAAAUCCACUGGAAUGAUAAAUUUUUGAACUUUUAUCAAUACAUUCUCCAACACUCCCAAUGGAUAUCUAAUAGACCGAUCCACUAGUUGCAAAGUAAUAUUAGUGCGUUUAAGCUCAUGCAAACCCAAUUGUCUAGCCACCGUUAAAGGUAUUAAUGAUACACUAGCACCAAGAUCACACAAUGCCUUAGAAAAAUCAACGCUACCUAUGGUGCAAGGUAUAGAAAAACUCCCCGGAUCCUUCAAUUUCGAUGGUAGCUUAUUUUGAAUAAUUGCACUACAUUCCUCCGUUAAUGCUAUUGUUUCGCAGUCUUCCAACUUUCUUUUUCUAGUCAUGAUUUCCUUGAGAAAUUUCGCAUAAGACGGAAUCUGCAAAAUAGCAUCGGCAAAAGGAAUGUUAAUGUGCAAUUGUUUGAAAAGUUUAACAAAUUUUUCAAAAUCUUUAUCAAACUUAUUUUGCUUUAAUCUUUGUGGAAAUGGAACCGCAGGGGGUAUUGGAAUGGUAGUGGAAGAUGAUGGUUGCUUUUCUCUUGGAUUCUCUCGACUAUUUUCCUCCACAAUCGCCUCUUGGUUCCUCUGCUUUUCUUCUUGUUUUUCAUUCUCAUCUUUCUCAACUUCCUUCACUGGAGGAUCUUCUAAUUGUCUACCACUACGAAGAGUAAUGGCUUUCACAUGCUCCUUAGGAUUGACCUCUGUUUUGCUAGGUAAUUCUCCUUGAUUUCGAUUAUUCAAAGAACUAGCAAUUUGACCAAUUUGGACCUCUACAUUCCUGUACAUUGUAGUGAGUUGGUCCAACCUUCCUUCUACUCGCUCAAAUCUGUCCGAGAUAACUUUUGCAAGCUUUUCCACUGCCAUCUCCCAACCAGGUUUAGUUUCAGCUUGUUGUUGCCUUGAUUGAAAUCCCGGUGGAUUGGUUUGCCUUGGUUGAUUUCCUUGAUCCUUCCAUCCAAAGUUUGGAUGAUUUCUCCACCCCGGAUUGUAAGUAUUCGAGUAGGGGUUAUUUUGAGCAUUACGAUUGUAAUUAUUGACGAAUUGUACCUGUUCAGAAUCAACACACUCAUUAGUAUCAUGUUCACCUCCACAUAUAGAACAACUUGCUACAUGUGCAUUAGAUGAACUUGGACCAACUCCACCUUGUCUACUUAGCAACUUCAUCACAUUAUUCAUUUGAGCACUCAGCAUAUUGAGAGUGUCCAUUUCUAUCAUACCUGCGUGACGUCUUGUAUUACCUCUCUCAUUGGCCCAUUGGUAGUUAUUUGCUGCCAUUUCUUCUAUCAAAUUAUGAGCCUCUUGGGGUGAUUUACCCAUUAAAGCUCCACCUGCAGCUGCAUCGAUCAUAGUUUUAGUAGAAAAAGCUAAACCAUUAUAGAAGGUUUGUAUGAUUAACCAUUCCGGCAGUCCAUGAUGUGGACAUAUCCGAAGUAAAUCUCUAAACCUUUCCCAUGCCUCAUAUAAUGAUUCUCCCUCCAAUUGACUAAAACUAGUGAUAUCCAUUCUAAGAUUAGCAGUCUUUCCUGGUGGAAAAUACUUAUUUAAGAAUGCUCUUGAUAAUUCAUCCCAUCCAGUGAAAGUAUUAGGAGCAUGAGAGUGUAGCCAAAGUUUGGCCUUAUCUCUCAAUGAAAAUGGGAACAAUCUUAGCCUUAUAGCAUCAUCACUAACUCCAUUCAUUUUAAUUGUAUCACAAAUUUCCAAGAAUGUAGCUAAGUGUGUAUUAGGAUCUUCUACUGCAUUACCUCCAAAUUGAGAUUGUUGAACCAUUUGGAUAAGUGAUGGUUUAAUCUCAAAGUUGUUAGCAUUUACCGCAGGCCUUGCUAUGCUCGUUUGAGAUCCUUGUGUUCCCGGUAGAGCACAAUCUCGUAGAACUCGCCUAUUUAGGUCAUUUUCCGCCAUUUCUUCUUCAAAUGGUAAUUCUAUCAAGAUAUCUUCUAUUGGCUGCCAAACCUCUUGUUCCUCUUGGUGCAGUGUAUUCCUCCUUUGUCUCCGCAAUGUUCUUUCAAUUUCCGGAUCAAAAUGUGCAACUUCUCUAUUUGAUCGGUACAUGCACUACAAGUAAAAAUAAGAGAAAUUUUUGUAAUUUUAAUUCAACAACUUGGAUAAAAACAAUGAAGAUGUCUAAAUUAAUAGAGAUGACUAGGCCCUAAUAUUGCCGCUCCCCGGCAACGGCGCCAAAAACUUGACGGGUUUUUACUUUAAGUGCAAGUUUAAUUUCGAUUUUACACCCGUUGGACUGCAAGUAUACAGGUCGCAAUUGUAGUACAAGAUGUGUAUCGGGUCGAUCCCACGAGGAGCAAUUUAAACAAUUACUAAGCCCUUGUUCUCUCUAUUAUUUAGACUUACAAUUAAUUUUGAGCAGAGAAAAUCUAAUGCUGUAAUCUACAAAUCUGAUAUACAAAUCUAGUUUAACAAAUGCUGAAUGCAAAUAGAGAAAUUUCACUUAAUGAAGAUUCUAGGGAUGUAGAUUCCACUUAUGGCAUAAACUACACAAAUAAAUGGAUUUACUUCUUGCUAUUAUUCUUGUUUAACCAGAGAUUUAUUUCCAAGAUUACCAAGUCUCAUUUUCAUGAUGAAAUGGCUUAGAGCAAUAUAGAUUUCCCUAUUUUCAUGGUGAAAUACUACUACUACUCCGUUUUAUUUCAUGAAAUACUCAAUAAUCCACCUAAGUGUAUCUCUAUUUUCAUGAACAUACAACUCAAGCACUACUCAUGUGUUUCAAUUGUUAUUACCAAUUCUCAUUGAAUAAUAACACUAUAAACAUGCUAUUGGUGAUCAAUCAAUAACAAGUAAGAACAGCUACACAAGUAGACAAGUUAAGACAAGAUAUAACAAGUGUAAAUCACAUUCAAUUAGUAUUAUUUAGCCAUAAGUUUCAUCUACUCCCUAGAUGAAGGAGUUUAGCUACUCAUGAAUGAUUUAACAAUCAAACUCACAAGUUUAUUAAUGCAAAACAUCAUAAAGUACAAGUAUAAGAAAGAUAAAAGAAAGCUUAGCCAAUUGAAGGUGAAGCUCUCCAAUUCCUGCUAUGUUCUUGCAAAAUAUGAUUACAAGUGAAACUCUCCAAAAAAUGCUUCUCCAAGUACUCCUCUCUAGAGAGAAAACUUGUUGCAAGAAGGAAAACUAGCUACGUAUGGUCCUCUGGCUUCUCCCCUGAGUUUCUGCAUAAAAGGUGGUAGAAAUUCCAUUCCUCUCUCUUCAUAAUUUCCUCCACUUAGAUUUGUAAAAAAGAAGUCAAUGUUCCUUUUGUCCACACUCAUUUGGUCUUCUCUUUUAUUGCAGAAGCAUGUGCCACCGAUUUCUGUCCCUCAAAAUAGCUGUAAAAGUUGUGAGAAAGGUAAAGAAAAACGGCUGUGCCACUUGCUGAGGAGAGAGACAGAUCCGAGCCUCGGAUCCGAGGAGUGAUAAUGGAUCCGAGCUCGGAUCAUAGGAUCCGAGGCCUUCCCAUGAUGGAUCCGAGGUCGGAUCGUCCUGACCUCGGAUACACUCCGCCAGAAGUACAGACGAGGGGUCGGAUCCCUCUUGUACACACGGAUCCGAGCUCGGAUCCGUGUUAAGCAAUAUUUCCAGUUUUUCACUUCUUCCAUUUUUCUACAUUUUUGCUCCCAAUUUCUUGUGUACUUUGUCCUCUGGAUGACCCUGACAUUUCUUUCAACUUGUGCAUGAAUUUCAUACAUCAAUUACCUUCACAAUUUCACAAAAUUACGCAUUAAUCCAUUCAUUUAUCAAUUUCUUAACUCUUAAAUAAUAUUUAAGCAAUUAUCACCAAAAGAGUUCAAAUAUGGCUUUAAUCUUCUCAAAACAUACCAAAAAUUCAUGCCAAAUUCGUACAAAAUGUACGUUAAAUAUUCACUUAUCAUUAUUCAUGAAUCAACUCAUAGGAGUUCCUCAGGUGAAACCAGUUUCACAAUUUGAGGUAUGCUUCAAUUUCAACUACUUAGCAAGUACCAGAACUGGCCCUGAAGUUCCUAGAAUUGAUUUCAUGCUGCAAAAUCAAAAGUUUAGCAGGACAAUUAUUGGCGAAAAUUUCACGGUACAAGUAGAACAAAAUGUCUCGUGUUUAGCCUUUGUUGAUGGAGGAACUAACCCUACGGCUUCAAUUGUCAUAGCUACACAUCAACUGGAAAAUAAUCUUCUUCAAUUUGGUCUUGCAAAGAACUAGAUUAGGGUUUGCAUCUUCGCUACUUUUGCGUCAUAUUACCUGUGCUAACUUCAAUUUCACCUUGCAUUCGUACCAUUUGUAAAAUGGGAACUGAGAUUGAUGUUUUAUUCUGUUGAAUGUAAUUAUUUUGAAGUAUUUGGAGAUAAAUUAUGUGCUCCUUGAUGCGAAAGAAAAUCUUUUUUUUUUUUUUGCGUGCUGAACUUUAUCGCCGUCUUGUACACACAUGCAAACGGGUGCAACGUUUUAUUGCCAACUGCAAAAUGUAAUUUCAAGAAAGAAUUUUUUUUACUCUACCUUUCAAAAUUGAUUCACAUUAUAACUUAAUCCAUGCUAACAUACAUAGUAUGUAUGUAGCAUUAAUUACAUGCAAUAUUGAUAUGUUUUUAAAUUUUCAUAAAUGGAAUCAAUUGAAAAUUAUAUAUUUUAUCACCAUGCUCAAGUUGAUUGUGAUUAUUUUCUUGCAGAAUUAGCUCAACGGACCGAAUUAACUCUCAUUCAAUGUCUUUACUUGUGUUUUACUACUAAUUAGUACAUAUUGGAUUAUAUUAUUGUUCUCUUUGUUCCAUUGACCUCUUGAACUUUUAGUGUCCAACAACUUGUCGAUUUCUGAGAGAUAGUGUUCUUGAUCUUGAUAUCCCAACUCAUUGCAUUUGAAAUUAUACAAUGCAAGUUAAACUAGUUUUUUUUUUCUAAUAAUUUCAUAUAAAACAUUCCUCGGAAAGAAAAAAUGUAACUGGUGAUGGAACUAUUCUAGACUAUUGCAAUUGCAUUGAGAAAAUUAAACUGACAAGAGAAUUCUCACUUUAACGGGUAUGCACUUCUCACUUUCCUUUGAUAAAGCUGGAAUCCAGUCUGGAAGAACCUGGUGGCAGUACUAGCUAGUGAAGUUUUAUCCCCUCUUUGCUAGAUGCUGCCUCAUCAAGCACUCCCUAGCUGCUUCUACUCUUUCUGUGUCCUCUAUUGCCAUCAUCACACCGCUGUCUUUACCCUUGUUUGCUCUAAGUUUGGUUUAAAGACAACCUACCAAAUAGAAAGAAAAAGAAAACUCAUCCACUGAUUAAGUCAUCAAACUCAGAUAUUUACACGAGAAACAGAAAUCAUCAAGAUUGUCUCCAUUCCCACCCCUUCUUGAAGUUAUCUUCCCCCAUUCUUACCCGCUACAAACUUUAUAGCUAUACAUAUAGAUCAAGCCAUUUUCCUCGUACUACCCAAAAACCACAUCUCAGAAACACUGAUUCUGCUAAUCUUCUCUGAUUCCUCUUAUGGCUUCCCGCUUCAAUUUUAUUCUCGCUCUCUUGACUCUCGUUUCCCUUCUGUUUGCAUCAGCACCUGGAGCUGCUCAAGCUCCCUUCAACCCGAACGCCCUUUACCUCCCAGUGCUGAAAGAUAACGCCACAAGCCUCCUUGUUGUCGAUAUCUACAAAAGAACACCCCUCAAAUCAAUCCCACUUCUUGUAGACCUGAAUGGCAAGUUCUUAUCAGUUAAUUGUGAGCAAGAUUACCUGUCAUCCACCUAUAAUGCUCCAAUUUGUCAUUCAACUCAGUGUUCACAAGUUGAAAAUCAUUUCUGCCACACAUGUUUAUCCCAGGCUAAGCCUGGUUGCCAUAACAACACUUGUGCAGUCUUUGCAACAAACCCUCUCACCAACACAAAUGUAGUUAGUGAACUUGCACAAGAUACACUAGCAAUUAAGACUAUUGAGGCCUCAAAUCCAGGCCCUCUGGCUGUUGUCCGCUACUUCCUCUUUGCAUGCACGCCAUCAUCUUUUCUACAAGGGCCAUUACCGCAAAAUGUACAAGGAAUAGUUGGAUUUGGCCACAAUCAAGUUUCUUUACCAAUGCAACUAGCUUCUCACUUUGGAUUCCCGCAGAAAUUUGCCUUGUGUUUAUCUUCAAAGACCAACCAAAAUGGAGUCAUCUUUUUGGGGAACGCAUCUUAUAGAAUUGGCGACAAGGACAUCUCUCAAGGUAUGCAAUAUACCCCAUUAACUAUUGGAUCACAAGGAGAGUACCAGAUACUAGUGAAAUCAAUCAGGAUAAAUCACAAGCCUGUCCAAUUCAACACACCUUUGCUUUCAAGAACUAGAAGCUUUGGUGGAACAGUGAUCGGCACAACAGAUCCGUACACCGUUCUUGAGCACUCAAUUUUCGAAAACUUCACUCAGUUCUUCACGAAUGAAUUCACUGCCAUUGGUGCAUCUCAGGUGGAUCCAGUAUCACCUUUUGGAGUAUGCUUCAAUAAAUUGCCUCCUCCGGUUCCAAAAGUCGAUAUAGCUGCUCCUAUCAUCGACUUUGUGAUGGAAAAUCGUGACACUGCCUGGAGUAUAUUCGGUUCAAAUUCCAUAGUCAAAGCAAGGCCUGGAAUUUGGUGCUUAGCAUUCGUUGAUGGAGGAUAUAAGCCCAGAGCUCCAAUUGUCUUGGGUGCAUAUCAGUUGGAGGAUCACAUAUUUGAGUUUGAUCUGGCUAGUUCCCAGUUGGGAUUUAGGGUGACCCUAAAGGCUGAUUACAAUACCUGUGAUCAAUUCAACUUCAAUCCUACACCAUAAGUUGGCGAAUGACCUGAAUGAUUUGAUCACUUUGCCAUGGAUAUAUGUACCUUGUUGGUUUAUGUUUGUGUCGGCUUUGUAGUUUUUGUUUUGUGCUGUGUGAUAUUAGCUUUUUUCGGUUUCAUAAUUGUGCCAAUGAAUUUUUUUUUAAGUGAGAGAUCUUAAACAAAGAAUCUUCCAUUUACUAUCCCUUCUACCUUACCACUUAAUUCAAACUUCUCCCAAACUUGUUAUGGUUACCUAGCUAUGAAUAUGUAUUCCUCUUUCUUUUUUUUUUCUUCUCCUGAUUACUUUUGCUAAAUUUUGUCACUAUGACUUAUUUGGGGUAACAGCCAUUAUGAUUUAUGACUGAUUGGAGGGCUGUACAAGACCCGAUAUUGUAUUGCCUAAUGCCUACCAAAUCUAGAAGUAAACUAAUUCCUGUUACUUUAGAAGAACAAUUUUGCCCUUUUUUUUGUGUCAAAAGGGUAACAAUACUAACCUAAACCUGGGCCUAACUUGGCCAUGAAGAAUGGAGGCCGAAAAAACUUGCCUCCCGAAUAUUUUCCCUACCCAAAUUGGGGGAACAUGCAAUAUACUAUACCUUUUGCAUUUUAUGCUUCAAUAAGUACUAGUGCCUUGGAAAAAAUUUGGCUUAUUUGGAUAAAGUAUUGAUUUUUUAUUUGUGCAAAGAUUACCAGAUAUUAUUGAGCUCAAAUUGCUUUUUUUUCCCCCUUAAAUUCUAUUUAAUAUCAUGGUACAAAAGAGUUAAUUUCUUGAAGCUUUAGAAAUUUUCUAAGUCAUUAAAUUUUCUUCGUCAUUGAUAUUCUUUGCUCAGACCAAUGACGUGAAAAUCAUUAAUAAUAACUCAAUUUAGUUAGCAGCUACAUUAGCUAAUUUUUAAUAGUUAAAAAAGCAAACUAAACCAGUUUAUCAUUAUAAUAAAAUAGUGCUUUCCACUUAUUGAUUAACGUACUUGCAUAGUGAUUAAGAUCUAUAACCAUUCAAGCAAAUUAUAUUGGCUAUGCAUGCCACUGUCCAACCGGGUGCUUUAUUAUUUCCCCUGAAACCUCACUGCAAUAGGGCUUCUCACAAGGUGCUCCCCAUCACUCCAAUCCAGUGACCCAAAUCCAGACUCAAUGUCACCAAUUUCCUCCAAUGCAGCCCUUGUGAACAAGACCUCAUAGGACAAGGCAUCCUUUCCUUUGCAGAAUAUCAGCUUACUCGGUGACACCCUCACCUCCACAAAUUGAGGAGCAUUUACUUUCACAUCAUACACAACAUCUGAUUUGCUCCCCACAUUCUUGACCACCCGUUUAUGCUUAGCCGCCUUUUUACUACGACUAAAAGCCACAGAAAAAGAAGGAUAAUUCAAGUCUCCAACACUCUCCAAUUUCUGUGCAUUGCAGUCCACGGGAACCGAUCUAUCCUUGACAAACACUGCUAUUUUAGUUGGACUAUACCCAAUCGUACACAAGAACCCCACGUAAUCACUAGUUCCCAUAUCGUAUACCAAGCCUGGAUUAAGCGCCUUGUUAGGAUCGACGUGACCUGACCCAUGUCCAAAUGGGAUGGAUUCUUUGCCAGUGGAAAUGUCCAUAAUAUUGUUGCCCCUGUUGUCAACGUUAUAAGCAGUCGUCAUAAGAGCUGAUUUUAUAGCUGCCGGAGUCCAAUCAGGAAAGGCUUUGUGAAGCAAAGCUGCUAAUCCACUUACAUGAGGACAGGCCAUGGACGUACCGGACAUAAUGUUGAAAUUCACUCUUCUCUUAUCAAUGUUUUCCAAACUGGAUGGUCCGGCCAGCCUGGUCCAACCGGCUAAGAUAUUCACGCCGGGAGCGAUAACAUCUGGUUUUAAGAUCUCCGGUGUAAUAAGAUUUGGACCACGGCUCGAGAAUGCCGCCACCCGUGGCGCUGAUAUUGAGUUCCCAGUCACCGUUCCUCUAAAGAUAAUUGUAGCUGUCGCAGAGGAGGGAUGGGACUUGAGGUAGCUCUUAAUUUUGUCGCCGGCUGUUAUCCCCACCAUCGUAGCUGGAAUUAGAUGGGCUUCCGCCCUGAGGUCUUCGCCGGAAAUGGCAUAUUCCUCAGUGUCUGCAUGUAUCAUGCCAACACCACCGUCGUGUUUGACUGCCCAUCCUUUGGCAGCUCCGGUAAUAUUACCUCCACGGUCACAUACCACAAUCUUUCCCUUGACUUUGGAAGGAUCGAGUUUUCCUUGGAAACAGAAUUUGCUUCCGCAAUUUGCGGCGUAAACAAGUGGGAUCUGAGCAUCCGACAGAGGGAGACCGGAGUACAGCGACACGCCACUGAAAAUUCUUCCAUCUCCGAGAACAACGUCAGCUGGAAACUCCCGGUCGAUUGUGGAUGCACCGACAGUAAGAAUCCAGGGUGCAAUAUUGUCGGCAGUGUAGGGGAGCGGGCCAGAAUUUCCCGCUGAGCAAGAAGUCACAAUCCCUUGCUCCAUAGCGCUAAAUGCACCGAUUGCAAUGGGAUCAAGGUCGUACUCCCUAGCUUGUUUGCCACCCACUGACAGUGAAAUCACGUGAACUCCAUCGGAAAUGGCUUGAUUGAUGCCUGCUAAUAUAUCGGAGUCAAAGCAUCCACCUCUCCAACAGACUUUGUAGGCGGCAAUCCUGGCUUUAAUCGCCAUUCCUCUCGCUUCCCCUUUAGCAUAUUCAUAGAGGCCAGCAUUUUUAACGGCCGAACCAGCUGCCGUAGAAGCAGUAUGCGUUCCAUGACCUUUGAAGUCCCAAGGCAACUUCGAUUCUCCCAUUUGUUCUAUGGACUUUUUCAUUUGUUCCUCAUAUUCUCUGUAAUAAGCUCUGGCGCCAAUAAGCUUUUUGUUACAUGAAGUUGAGGGAAAGUCCGAAGUCGUUUCACAUUCUCCUUUCCAGUAUGAAGGAACAGGAGGAAGGUUUUCGUCAGAGAAGCUCGGAUGAUCAGGCCAACUGCCAGUGUCGAGGACACCGAUGACGACGUCCUUGGCGUAAUUGGAGACUGGCCAGAGGCCAAAGAAGUCAGCGAGGCCCAUGAAGUAGGGGGUGCGGGUAGUUUGAAGCUGGCGGAUGCUGUCUGGGACGACAGAUAGAAUGCCAUGGUGACGGCGGAGCUCUGCGGCCUGGGAGAUGUUAAGGCGGGCAGCAAAGCCAUGGAUAGCGUGUUCAUAGGUAUACAGGAGUUUAGUUGUGGGCUGUUGACGAUCGGUGGAGAGAGGAGAGAGGGAGCUGAGCAUGGAGGAGUACCAGUCGUGGUGGGUGGUGAAAAGGGAUGGCUUUUGAGACUUGGAGAGGUGGACGAUGUAGGUUUCAUGACUGUCAUCGGAUGAGGCAGCAAUCAUGCAUGCAUGGAGGCAAAAGAGGAAGAAGAUAAGGAGAAAUAAGGAAGUUAGAGAAGAGAAGGCAGCCAUUAAUUGGAGACAAGAUGCAGGGUAAGAAAAUAUUGCAUGCAAAGGGGGUUUGGUUGUUGAACAUAAUUCUGGGGAUGGGGAUGAUGAUGAUGAUGAUAUAUACACAAGAAGCUUGGACGGUUGGAGCAGAUGGCUGCGUAUCUUUGUGAUAGAUUGGCCUUUGUGUUGUUGGGGCACGUCCUAAAACCUUACUGGUCAGCAAUGGAGCUAAAACGCUAAGGUCAGGGUCAAUCUCCGACAGCAUAUAGAAUGCAGUAAUAAUGAAUUAAAUUAAAUGAAAGUUUAUACAAUAAACAUAUUUUUUUUCCAAUGUAAAAUAUGUUUUUAAGUUAAAAUUAUACUCAAAUUUAACAAUAAAAAUCACUCUACGAAUUUGUGUUUAGAAACAUGGACGAAUUUGUGUUUAGAAACAUGGACAGAAUUUAUUUUAUUAUUAAUUCCUCCUAUUACCUGACUUGAUGUGGAUUAAUUGCGGGAUUCUACUCACUUUUAGUAUUUUACAUUUAUUUCAGGAAGUAGAACGAAAAUAUAAUAACAGGUACUAAUUUGGCAGGAAAACAGUCCAGAUGAUAGAGUUUAUCGCAUUUUUUAAACAACAAAAUGAGAGCCCUUGUUGGACAAAUUGGGCCGAAGUCUUCUUUUCGGAGUGAGCCGCCGCACAUCAAAAGGGAGGCAGAGGAUAAACACAAAGAGAGCAGCAGAGGACUAGGGGGAUCUGGCCUUUCUUCUUAGUUUUUCGUCUUUAGUUUAGGCUAAAUUUUAUUGACUUUUCCCUUGGACUUACUUUUUGGCUUCGGGGACUUACGAAUGUCAGGACCCCUAAGCCAUUCUUGGCUUUUGACUUUUCUUCAUCUUUGAACUUUUAGUAUUUACGUUUCUUUCUUCGUAUGUCAUUCGAAGUGAAACAGAGGGCUACCUCUUGUAACUUUGCUAUCUUUUCUGGAUUGGAGCGAAUUGCGUUUCCCAAUUUUUGUGACAAUGGCCGCGACUCUUGUUUCAACUUCCUGUGGACUUAGUUCAUCAAAUAUGAACUAAUUUCACCAGUCUAGCUAAGGAAUAACGGAUGCUUUGGGUCGCUUAAAAUUGUGAGAUCGAUUUAAUUUUAUCUUUUUCUUUUAUUUAUUAGUAUUCACAUAUUCCUUAUUUGCAGUGCUUGUGAUUAUUUAAUUAAUUGAUUGUCUUGGAUCCAGAUAAUUAGUUGAUUGGGUAACCUAUUGUCAAUUAGGGCAUUAAAUCCGUAAUUGUUUAAUUGCUCUAAAAUAGUGACAACUGGCAUGAUUAGGUUUGUGUCAGGGGAAUACGCGAGGUAAUCUAAAAUAACCCUGGUAGUGCGUUAUUUGGUUAGAAUAGGGCUCCUCUAAUACGUAAGGCAAUUGGGGAAUUAAAUUCUACGGGCGUACCUAGGAUUAUUUCUCAAUUAGAGCAGUGAUUAACGGGCGUACCUUGAUCACCGACGCAGUAAGGAGGGGUUGACUGUCAUCGCUUGUUUGGCAGUUAUAACCUAUUUAUUGAUAAAUAAUUGAAAUUGCCUUUGUUUCAAGGAUCAAUUAGGUGAACCAUUACUGAAAUUAUUUCUUGGCUAGAUCCUUAAUUAUCACUCAUUUGAUUUUAGUAAUUUGUUAUUUAAUUUUUAGUAGUUUCUUAGAUUUUAUUUGAAUUUAUUUGAUUGUCACCUUCUGCACAAAAACACUCUCUUGUCACUGUGAAUUUGGAAAGGAACAAGUACUCCCAAUCCCUGUGGAUUCGACCCUGCUUACCACUAUCUACAGAAAUUUACUUUUAGUUUGAACAGGUUUUAUUAUUGCACAGGUUUCGACAACCUGUCAAUUUUUGGCGCCGUUACCGGGGACUGGCGUUAUUAUUUGUUUCUUUUUAAAUUCAUUUUUGAUCUAACUUUCUGGUGCUUUUCAAGUGUAUGCCUCGUUCUUCUCGUACAGGUGAAUUAAUUUUCGACCCCGAGGUAGAGAAGACUGAGCGUAGGACAAGAAAAGAGACCAGACAGCUCCUAGAGGAGCACUCCAGUGCUACAUCUCAGAGACCUGAGCAAGAAGUUGAACCAACAGAUUCGUUUGGAGACACUUCGAGUGACUCUGACCAGGAGGAAGGAACCAUGGCUAAUGCACGAACAUUGAGGGAGUUGGCUGCUCCUGAUUUAAAUCAGCAGCCUUUAUGCAUUACCUUCCCCACCCUAAAUGAUAACACUCCAUUUGAACUAAAAUCUGGACUGAUUCAUCUUUUACCAUCUUUUCAUGGUUUACCAGGUGAAGAGCCGUAUAAACAUCUGCAGGAGUUUGACGUCGUGUGCAAUAGUAUGAAACCCCCAAGAAUCACAGAAGAGCAAAUAAAAAUGAGGGCAUUUCCCUUUUCCUUGAAGGAUUUUGCAAAGGACUGGCUGUACUACCUACCACCAGAUAGCAUCACCAUGUGGAACCAGUUGAAGAAAAAAUUUUUAGAUAAAUAUUUUUCUGCGUCCAGAGCUGCGAGUCUAAGGAAAGAAAUUUGCGGGAUCAAGCAACACCCAGGCGAGUCACUCUAUGAGUAUUGGGAACGGUACAAGAAGUUGUGCAACAAGUGCUCCCAGCACCAAAUAAGUGAGCAGUUGCUCAUACAAUAUUUUUAUGAUGGGCUUCUUUUCAGAGACAGGAGCAUAAUUGAUGCUACAAGUGGAGGGGCACUGGAGAACAAAAUCCCUCGGGAAGCAAGGGAGUUAAUAGAGGGGAUGACAGAGAAUUCACAACAAUUCGGUACGAGAGAGGAUGUUCCACUACGCAAGGUGAAUGAGGUAGAGACAUCCUCUAUCUAGCAGCAGCUAACUUAGUUGACCUCGUUUGUUAGGCAACUGGCUGUAGGAAAUGCAUUUCAGGCCAAGGUGUGCGGGAUUUGCACUGAUAUGAUUCAUUCUACAGACAUGUGUCCAAUGAUGCAAGAGGAGGGUGCAGAGCAAGUGAACAUGACAGGUCACGUGCCCGCGCCAUGAAGGCACUAUGACCCCUAUUCAAGUACCUACAAUCCUGAUUGGAGGGACCACCCUAACCUCAGUUAUGGAGGGAACAGGCAGUCUAAUUUCGUGCCUAAUAGACAACAAGGGUACCAGCAGCAGUACCAACCCCGACCACCUCCGCUACCGAGCUCUAGUCUAUCUUUGGAGGAGAUGAUGAAACAACUGAUAGCAAUCAUCUCGCAAAAUCAGCAAAGGACGGACUCCGAAAUGCAGGACAUAAGAAAUCAGAUAAGUCAAAUGGCCCCAAAAAUCAACCGUUUGGAGUCCCAAGUAAAUGGAAGAUUGUCAUCCCAACCUGAACUGAACCUGAAGAACGUAAGUGCAAUGACUUUAAGGAGCGGGAAAGAAAUUUAGGGGCCCGAACUCGUGACUCCAAAGGAUAAGGACGAAGAGAAGAUUGAGAAAGAACUUGAGGCAGAGAAUACAAGAACCAAAAAUUCAACGGUACUCCCUGACCCGAUUAUAGAUGUUAAAACUAAUCCCCCUCCAUUUCCUUGCAGGUUGGAGAAACCGAAGAAGCAGGACAAAGAGAAGGAGAUCCUAGAGGUGUUCCGCAAGGUAGAGGUCAAUAUCCCCUUAUUAGAUGCCAUCAAACAAGUGUCGAAGUAUGCAAAAUUUUUGAGGGAUCUAUGUGUCAACCGAAAGCGGCUGAGGGGAGACGAAAGGAUCAUUGUUGGGGAGAAUGUGUCAGCAGUUCUCCAAAGGAAGCUUCCACCAAAGUGCGGGGAUCCAGGUAGGUUUAUUGUCCCAUGUAAGAUAGGUAAUACUCUAAUUAGGAAUACCCUGCUAGACUUAGGAACAUCGAUCAACGUAAUGCCUAAAUCUAUGUAUACUUCUCUGAACUUCGGUCCAUUAAAAGAAAUCGAAAUAAUAAUUCAAUUAGCUGACCGAACAAAUGCAUACCCUGAUGGGUUGAUAGAAGAUGUGCUGGUUAAAGUUAAUGAAUUGAUAUUCCCGGAUGACUUUUAUGUACUUGACAUGGAUGAUGAUCAUUCCUCUGACCCCUUACCUUUGCUACUAGGUAGACCCUUUUUGAGCACAGCACAGACAAAAAUUGACGUUAAUAAGGGUACAUUGUCCAUGGAAUUUGAUGGAGAACUAGUCCACUUUAAUAUUUUCGAUACAAUGGAACAUCCUGUUAACUCUCACCCUGUAUUUGCUAUUCAUGCUAUUAAUCCCUCUGUGCAAGAAUUUUCUUCGUUUGCUUGUAGGAAUAAAUUCAAAUUUACUGAGAACAAGUAUAAGGGGAUGGAAGCACUGUAUGAGGUGAAAAACAGUAGAAAAUUAAGAAAGGAGGCUGCCCUCAAAGGCUAUUUGGAUCCUGGAGGAGGACCACCGAUUUCCAGAAAAACUGAGUUACACCCAGAUUGAAGAGUGGUGUUCAAUGUCAAGCCAAAAACGUUAAAGAAAGGCGCUCAUUGGGAGGCAACCCAAUUAUUUCUUUUAAUUGUUUGUUUCGAUUUCGUGUGAUAGUUUAAAUAUGUUUUCCUUGAAUUUGACUGAUUUCGGGUUUCAAUUUUCGUUUUUGAUCAUUUGUAGGUGUUUUUCUGUCAUGACGUGCCCACGUCAUGACGUCUGGAGAGCUCACGGUCAGAAUCGUCAGAAGAGCUCAAGGUCAGAGAGCUCCCCCGUUCUCAUUCCAUGCCUUCGUCAGAGAGUUAAAGGUUGAGUUUUGCAAUUGUUAUAGGAAAAAAAUUUAAUUAAAAAAAUUUAAUUUAAAAUUAAAAAAAAAUUUCCUUUUCACCGUAGCUUAAAUUUCCAAAAAAAAAAAAAAAUCUCUUUCUUUUUCCUUCUUUUCUUUCUUUUUCUUUCUUUCUUCUUUCUUUCUUCCCCGCUGCCCCUGUUCGCCCUUUCUUUCUUUUCCUCUGCGCACGCCGCCGCUUCCCACUCCCGCCCGCCGCGACGCACGGCUGUCCACGACUCUGCACGAAGGCCACGCGCACGCGGGCCGUUGCACCUCGUCGCCGCUGCGCACUUUGAGCUCCAUCUCCACCCGCGCCAUCAGCCGUCCACCACGCACGCCGCGGCCCAUCACCUCCAUCCCAGCUCCAGCCCCGCCACCACCAGCUCAUGCUCGCCUCUCUCCCGCACGCCGCCGUCGCUUACUCCACCUCACCCGCUGUCCGCGCGGAAGCCGCGACAGUGCCGCCGUCCCUCUCUCUCUGAGCUCCGCCGCCACCCACUCACCUCCAGCUCAUCCACAGCCCCAUCUCAGCGCGCCGCCUCCAUUAGCUCACGAAGCCCAGGUUAAGCUCGCCGCGAUUGUCGUCGCGGCUACUUUCUUCCACCGCAGCCCAGUCCACCAGGGCUCCACUUUUGCCUCCAGCUUGGUCUCCACAGUCGCGCGCAACCCACCUCGCCUGCGCACGUCACCCACUACUGUCCCCUUUCAUUUGGUUGUCGUCCAAGGUGGAGGUAAUUGGAACUUGUCCCCCAAUCUCUUAAUAACUAAUUGGUGCUGCCUGGGUUGCUCAAUAGUUAAUGUUGUUGACAGUUGGAGUUUAUUUUCUCAAUUGGUGAAUUCCACCAGUGGUAUUGGUUGGACUAUUUUCGCUUGGAAUUACUAUUUCUUUUGGGUUGGGUAAAAUUGUGCAAUUAAUUGGCCAACUGGGGCCAUUUGUUGGGACUUUGGGUGAGCUGAAAUACCGCACUUAUUUGUUAAAUUGGGAGGUUUCUAUGCCAUUUACAUUGCUUAUUCCAGUUGGGUGCAUCUGAUGAAUUGCUGGGGUUGCUAAUUGCACUGUUUUGGGGGUUGUUUUGCUGCCUUGGUUGUUGACUGGAUUUAAGUUAAUAGUUUGAAGAAUAUUCUGCCCGUUUGUUUCACUUGGUUGACGUUUUGGGUGGCACGAGGGCACUUGAAUCUACUCGUUGACAUCGGUCCAAUUUAAGUGAUUAGUCGGUGCCAAAUUGGCUGCUGACUUAGGUUGCUAUUUGGGUGACUGUUUGAGUGAGAGCUAAGUGUUUUUAUUGAUUUGUUACUGUCUAAUUUCUGCACUGCUAUUGCUGAUUUUGAGUUCAAACGGUAACUGGCCAACUGGAGCCAUUUGUUGAGAUUUUGGGUGGACAGAGUUUUGCAUUUGUUGGUUGAAUUGAGUUAAGAUGUCUCAGCACUUGGGUGCAUACUUCCGCCACAUCGGUUUUCCUCCACCGUUCCCGCCUAUCCCUUCGUCACUCGAGAGGGAAGUUUCAUUGUUCUCUUCACUUUAAUUACUUUAUUACCUCCAUUGAGGACAAUGUAGGAUUUAGGUGUGGGGGGGAGCAGUUAUGGUAUUAGUUUUUCUAGUUCUUAGUUUUCAGAUAUUUUUCUUUUAUUUUUAGUCUGUUAUUUGUCUAGUUUUCGUUUACUUUUUGUCAUUUAUCUGUCUAGCUCUCCUAUGACUGCCAAGUUUGAUGUUGAAUUGUUGCCUCUAUUUCUGCUAUUGCCAAACUUUAAUAAUAAAAGUGUAUCAAGUCAAUGUGGUUGAGUCCAAAAAUAUCUCUUUGGUGAAUAUCAGUGAUUGUUUUACUCAUAUAAUUUUUGGUUAACUUUCCUAGGCAUAGGGAAUGAUUGUUAGCAUUUUCAUGUGAAUUGGUCCGGUAAUUAACCUUAGUUUUCCAUGUUUGAAAAUGAGACUUGCUAAUGCAAUUUUCUUUUGGGUUUUUGUGUUAUUUUGAGUUUUUGUGUUAUUUGGCUAUGAAUAAGAGUUGAAUGUACUCCGCUAGUCUUUACUACCGAGUAACUGGGGAUCUUCAUCAAAAGUGUCGAUUCUCACGUCAAAAAUUUGUAAUUGCUAUGAGUACGUGGUCACGUGACGAUAGAAACUGAGUAACCGGGCUCUUUCAUCUAACAAAUGUCAGAGUUUGCGUCAAAAGGCUCCAAUGGCUAGCGACUAAGUCUUUUGUUACUAUUGAGAAAAGCAAAAAAAAAAAAAAAAGAGAAUAGUAGAAAAAUGUGAUAAAAAAGUUAAGGUUGUGUUAGUGUAUAAUAAUAGUUAGCUUUAAUGUUGAGAUUUUGGUUAAUAGUUGGACCAUUUGCUGAUAAAUGUAGUGCGUCAUUUCUUUUUCUUAGAUUAGUUAAUCUGAAAUUGGAGGAGUUUGUGGUUUAGAAGCUAACCGGAGUGAUGUUUUUUGGAUUUUGAUAACUGAUGCUUGAUAUAUAUUUUUCUUGAUAUCGUGGCAAUAUGGUAGAUAGAGCAAUAGCCAUUGUCAAAUAUUGGUGUUUGUUUAUUGUUCUUAUGCUUGAGGACAAGCAUAGUUUUGGUGUGGAGGGAAUUGAUAGGUUGCAAUUUUAUCAUUUAUUUUAUUAUUAAUUCCUCCUAUUACCUGACUUGAUGUGGAUUAAUUGCGGGAUUCUACUCACUUUUAGUAUUUUACAUUUAUUUCAGGGAGUAGAACGAAAAUAUAAUAACAGGUACUAAUUUGACAGAAAAAGAGUCCAGAUGAUAGAGCUUGUUCUAGGGGCAUUUUUGGAACAACAAAACGCGAGCCCUUGUUGGGCAAAUUGGGCCGAAGUCUUCUUUUUGGAGUGAGCCGCCGCACAUCAAAAGGGAGGCAGAGGAUAAAAACAAAGAGAGCAGCAGAGGACUAGGGGGAUCUGGCCUUUCUUCUUAGUUUUUCGUCUUUAGCUUAGGCUAAAUUUUAUUGACUUUUCCCUUGGACUUACUUUUUGGCUUUGGGGACUUACGAAUGUCAGGACCCCUAAGCCAUUCUUGGCUUUUGACUUUUCUUCAUCUUUGAACUUUUAGUAUUUACGUUUCUUUCUUCGUAUGUCAUUCGAAGUGAAAUAGAGGGCUACCUCUUGUAACUUUGCUAUCUUUUCUGGAUUGGAGCGAAUUGCGUUUCCCAAUUUUUGUGACAAUGGCCGCGACUCUUGUUUCAACUUCCUGUGGACAUAGUUCAUCAAACAUGAACUAAUUUCACCACUCUAGCUAAGGAACAACGAAUGCUUUGGGUCGCCUAAAAUUGUGAGAUCGAUUUAAUUUUGUCUUUUUCUUUUAUUAAUUAGUAUUCGCAUAUUCCUUAUUUGCAGUAAUUGUGAUUAUUUAAUUAAUUGAUUGUCUUGGAUCCAGAUAAUUAGUUGAUUGGGUAACCUAUUGUCAAUUAGGGCAUUAAAUCCGUAAUUGUUUAAUUGCUCUAAAAUAGUGACAACUGGCAUGAUUAAGUUUGUGUCAGGGGAAUACGCGGGCUAAUCUAAAAUAACCCUGGUAGUGCGUUAUUUGGUUAGAAUAGGGCUCCUCUAAUACGUAAGGCAACUGGGGAAUUAAAUUCUACGGGCGUACCUAGGAUUAUUUCUCAAUUAGAGCAGUGAUUAACGGGCGUACCUUGAUCACCGACACAGUAAGGAGAGGUGGACUGCCAUCGCUUGUUUGGUAGUUAUAACCUAUUUAUUGAUAAAUAAUUGGAAUUGUCUUUGUUUCAAGGAUCAAUUAGGUGAACCAUUGUUGAAAUUAUUCCUUGGCUAGAUCCUUAAUUAUCACUCAUUUGAUUUUAGUAAUUUGUUAUUUAAUUUUUAGUAGUUUCUUAGAUUUUAUUUGAAUUUAUUUGAUUGUCACAUUCUGCACAAAAACACUCUCUUGUCACUGUGAAUUUGGAAACGAACAAGUACUCCCAGUCCCUGUGGAUUCGACCCUGCUUAACACUAUCUACAGAAAUUUACUUUUAGUUUGAGCAGGUUUUAUUAUUGCACAGGCUUCGACAACCUGUCACCAAUCUAUAGUGUAUGUGCGGAAUUAUCCCCAAUCUAUUUUGAAAAUCAAUUUUGGUCCCCAAUCUAUUCAAUUUUACGCUAAAGUGGACAAUUGACGGAAUCUCUCCAAUUUCAAUCAGAACUAAGUCACGUGAGAUCACGUGUCGGCACCUAAAACCCCUUUUUGAAUUUUUUAAUUUCUAAAACACGUUUUUUAAUAUUUUCAGCUUUGUUAAACAAAGACAUGCAAAGGUUAAUCUCACAAUCCAAAUUACUCCUCUUGUUGGCCGCUGCCUUCAAACCCCCAAAACCCACAGCACGAGUAAGAAGCUCAGCUUGGCCUCCAAGUCCAAGUCUCGUUCCUGCCUCCAUUAGUAAUGGAGAUAAUCUGCAAUUAAUGCCAGAGACGGACCUAGUUUAACUCUCCUGCACAAACAACAGGAGCAGCAACAGCAGUACUACUUCAUAAGCAAGCAAGCAAGCAGUCGAGAGAGAAGAGCGGAUGAUAAUAAUUGGAAAUCAAUGGGAUUAUACGGACCAAAUGAUCAAAGGGAUUAUACUGGUAAGUAUAUUCUUUCCCUAUUAGCCAUUCUUCACCGUUGAACUGGAAUGAGCAUUAGUAGUAUAUUAUUGGUAGGUCAUGCUUACGGCUAGAACAGACACUUCAUCGGUGACUAUAGAAUGGUCCUUGUCUCUUUUGCUCAACCAUCCCGAGGUGCUAGAGAAAGCUCGAGCUGAAUUGGAUGCUCAAAUAGGGAUUGAUCGAUUGGUCGACGAACAUGAUCUAUCAAAUCUUCCUUAUCUUCAUAACAUUAUUUUAGAAACACUUCAGUUGUACCCUGCAGUACCAAUGUUAGUGCCACAUGAGUCGUCCGAUGACUAUAAAAUUGGGGGAUACAAUAUUCUGCGAGGCACAAUUUUGCUAGUUAAUGCAUGGGCAGUUCACAGGGACCCAAACGUAUGGGAUGAUCCAACAAGCUUCAAGCUAGAGAGAUUCGAAGGCUUGCAGGUUUAGCCAUCAAAGCUGAUUCCAUUUGGGAUGGGAAGGAGAUCUUGCCCUGGUUCUGGCCUAGCACAGCGGGUGGUGGGUUUGGCCUUGGGAUCUCUAAUUCAGAGUUUUGAUUGGAAAAGAAUUGGCGAGGAGGAAAUUGAUCUGGCUGAAGGGACAGGAGUGUCCAUGCCAAAAGCCAAGCCACUAGAAAAAACGUGUUUUAGAAAUAAAAAAUUGAAAAAGGGGUUUUAGGUGCCGGCACGUGAUCUCACGUGACUUAGUUCUAAUUGAAAUUGAAGAGAUUCCGUCAAUUGUCCACUUUAGCACAAAAUUGAAUAGAUUGGGGACCAAAAUUGAUUUUCGAAAUAGAUUGGGGAUAAUUCCACGCAUACACUAUAGAUUAGGGACCAAAAUUACAAUUCUCCCUUGAUAAUCAUCUUUAAAUUAUGCAAUUAUCAUAUCAAAAGAUGGAGUGCCAUUGAUAAUCAACUUUAAAUUAUCUUUAUCAUAUAUCAUAGAAUAGGAAUAAAAAUUCUUUGGUAAAGGAGGUACUAGAGAUUUUAUAUCUUUGUAUGUGCCUGAAAAAAUUCCUGUUAUCCAAAUUAACAAGAACCAUAGCGGAGGAGCAGAAGAAAAUUAGUCAAUUUGUUCAAUGUAUAGUGAUUGAGUUUGAGCGAAAAAAGAAAAGCUAAAAAAGAAACUAUUCCCUUUUUUACCAAAGUUUUUUUUUAAAAAAAAAUGUGGCAGAGCUUUUAUUUUUCAUUACUUUUCCUCUAUUUCUUCUUUUCCCUUUGUGAAUUCCUAAACAAGCCAUACAACUCUAGUAAGUAAAAAUUUGCAUCAUUCCCAUAAAAUAUAUGGUCAUAUGUAUAAUUUGAAAAAAAAUUUUGGUAUUGUAUACAAAUUAUGAAUGCUUUAAAAAAUCUUAUACUUUGAACUAAUCCUAUAAAAAAAUGUCAUAAACUUUUAUAGUAUAGUACUUCACUAAUCAUACUUCAUUUUGAGGCAAAAUUUUAAUAUUUGUAUAAGGAUUUAUCAUGUCUUUCCUGUUAUAGUACGAAAUAGUAUAUUCAUAGAUAUAAAACCAAUAAGAUGACUAAAGCUUUCGUUAAUUUACUGUCUCCUAUGGAAAAGCAUGAGAAUAAAAGUUGAUGUUAAUGCAGCUUAACAUCUUAAAAUUAUGGUCAAUUCACUUGCAUUUUUAGUUUCAUACCUUUUAGAUGUGUUCUCAUUCUCGGAGUUUCACCAAAUUAUAAUUAAACGUAAAAAAAUUGUAUAGUAUAUAUAUACAUAUGAUCUUCCAUAUUAGCAUUCUUAUCCUGUAUUAUACUUAUUAUACUAAUUAACUAAGGCAAAGAACCUAAAUAGUCUUGGACUUUUUAAAUUUGUAUAUUUUGGCUAUUAAAUGGAUGAUUUAAUCCUUUUGUCAAUUUAAGCUGUUAACACUUAUAUAGAAUGUAAUAAAGUGAUGUAAUUUUGAUCUUCUUCUUACUCCAACCAUGUCCGGUGGCUGCUGCAAAUUCUAACUGCCGAUCAAUGACCAUUGACCACCAUUUGACCUACAAUUGACCAUCACCAUUCUAUUUGUCGACUAUUGACAAAAGUAUGCUCUUAUACUCCAUCUUUGGCGUAGAUUCCAAAUUGAGCUUCAGUUUUUAGUGAAUCUUUCAAAAUAACACUAGAAUUGAAGUCAAAGGUACAAUUUAUUUCACCCUUUUUAAAAUCUUUUUUAGAUCUCAUCUAUCUAGAGUGUGAUUGCAUCAAAACUUCAGAAUCGAAUAUUAGUGGUCAUUCACCGAAGAAAGGUCAUUGACCAGCCACCUGGAGUUGCAACAGCCACCUAAUAUGGUUGGAGAAAUAAAACGAUCAAAACUGCAUCAGUCUUUUGGUGUUUCCUCAGUGUUAGCAGUUUAAAUUGAUGAAAAUGUUAAAAGUAUACACUUUUUGUAGGUUUAGAGAGAGGCCAGUGUCAUAAAAUUAAUACUACCGAUAGUAUAUAUUCAAACAUUGAAGUUUGAGGGCUGUUUAGGUUUAGAAAGCUUGAAAUCUGGCUUUGUUUGAGCAUUUUCCACUUUCUUACGGAGUAGUUUUUGCUAUACUGAGUGGUGUCGGAGAUAAGUAUAUUAUUAGAGUAAAUCUUAUAUACAUCGAUAGUGUAUAUACGAUGAGACACUAUCAUCGUUUAAUUUAUAACAUGUGUGCAAAAGUUAAAUUUCAUAUUCAAAUUUUGCAUAGUUAUCAUCCAUCUAACGCUGACAGUGUAUACAUUGUCAGUGUAGGAAAGAUUAAUCCAUAUUAUUAUACUAAACGAAACAUCAAUACAAGAUUCUAAAACCAAUAGCAGUGUAGAACAUUUUUUUCUUUAUUUUUAUCACUUAAUUCGUAUAUUAUAUUGUUUUCCCAAAUGUUAUAGUUAGUCACAGUUCAUAAUUCUACAUCGUGUUAGGGAUCGAUCUCCUGAUUUAUUUGAGAUAGUAAUCUCCUGUGUAAACUGUAUAGUCCUCGAUCUUUUUAAACCCUCAUUAUUUGCUAAAAACAAAAACUAUGAUUACAAACACGUUCUUCUUAAGUUCGAUUACUUUAAUUAUUCGUGUGGAUGGGCGGGGGCCGCCUACUGUACUUAUCAUUCUGGUGUCAAUCAUUUGGAAAUAUCUUGUUUAUGCCUGUCUUACUCGUAUAUUUUGCUUUGGGCAUGGAAACCAAAGAUGUCCGAAAGUAUGUCUGAUCAAGAACAUGAUAGACAGGAAAAAAGUCUUAUCUGCAAGGCUGCACCCUCCGCCAAGGGACGAGUGUUCCUGGUGGACCUUUGGCUAGUAUUGUGCUCUAGGGGUGUACCAAAAAAAUCUGCUUAUCCGCGACACUCGUUCCAUUUGCUUUUGAAAUUAAGCCGAGAAAGUCUUGGUUGGAUGAUUAAGGUUGAGAUUUCAAGAAUGAGAAGUCCUAAAUGAUAAUCCCUUUACCCUUAUUUUGUUUUUUAAAUUUCACUUUUCUCCUGUUAGAAAAAAUUACAAAAAAAAAAAUAAAGGUAAGUGGAUUGCACUUUUUUAUUGAGGCAAAUGAGGACUGGGUGCCUGCAAAAUGUGAAUUGUAAUACAGCUCGUAAGUUUGAAAACUGAUGGAUUUAGGUCGUGCCCUGAUGUUCAUAUGCCAUUGCUUCUACCUAUUGUGGAAAGAAAAGGUAACUUUUCACUAUGGCCAAAUCUGCAUUUAACCAAAAGACUAACUCAAUUAGUGAAUGGAAAAAUAGCAGAGCAAUCCGGAAACCGAGAUAAUUAUGAGGAUAGGCAAAUGAGAUAUUUACAGCACCACAAAUUUAUGUCUGUCAAUGGGGCCGAACCAACCCGAGUUCGGCCCUGAAUUAAAUUUGGGCCUAAACAAUAUGUCUGAAUUAAGUGUGAGUCAAGUUUGGGUCUUAUUAGGCUCAAACCCUAUAUAGAUCCGACCGUUUAAUCUGCAUCUAUAUAUAUAUAUAUUAUAAUUACAGCACCACAAAUUUAGGACUAUCAAUGGUGCCGGGCCAACCUGAGUUCAGCCCGAGAAAAAAGCCCAAUAAACCUAACCUUUUAUUAAAUUGGACCGAGUUUGAGUCUAAACAUUAUGUCCGAAUUAAAUGUGAGCCGAACUUGGGACUUAUUAGGCUAAAACCUGAUAUAGGUUCGAUCCUUUAAUCUAUAUAUAUAUAUAUAUAUAUAUAUAUAUAUAUAUAUAUAUAUAUAAUGUAUUCAUAUUGGAUAUAUAUUAAAUAUAAUUAAAUAUAAUAUUAAUAGUUUAUACUUAUGAGUUAUGUGUCAAAAUAUAUUAAUAUACAUAAGAAAUAUUAAAUAUACAAAAUAAUGUCAAAAGAUACAGAAGUACAAAUCUUAGUACGAGCAAAUUGAGGAUCUUUGAAAAUAUAUUGAUUGUCGAUCAUGUUUAUUACUAUUUUUCUUGUAAUUUAAACUAAUUGGAUAUAUUAUUGUUGGAAAAUUCUUGAUUUAUAUACUAUUUAAUGAACUGUUAUUGGUUCAUGUAUAGUUUUAAUGUUGUGGUCCUGUGGAUGUUAAAUUAGUUUUAGAACUUAAUAGUUAUACUAAUUAUGUUAAAAAAAUUAAGGAGUAAUAAGUGAAUUUUGGCUAAACUUGAAUUAGACUUAUAGUCCGAAUAUUUUGUGAGUCAAGUAUAAAUUUUACUUUAUUUAAUUCGAAACUCAUAAUUCAAAAUCUGAAAGUGGUAAUAAUUAUGAGUCGAACCUAUACUUGUUAAAAUCCGACUCAAAUGGCUUGAUUGACAGGCCUACACAAAUUAUGAUGAGGAAACAACAAUAAUCAUGAGGAACUGCCAAAAAUUGGAUAUAAAGGAACUCGCAAAGGCCAAAGUCCACUAAUUUAAUCAAUGUGCUAAGUUGGUUUUAAAGGAACUCCCAAAGUGCACUAAUUACGAUGACGAAACAAUAAUAAUGAUAAAGUAGAAACAUUCAACAAUAAUAAUGAUAAAAGUAGAAACAUUCCGGGGACUCAACUCUUCCACCAUAAGUGCGUGACCAAUAACAGCCCUCCGGAUGUGUUUCUGCAUUCAUGCAAAAUGUGAAACAGAACGUGAGCUUCUAUUACUCAGUAAUUUGGCUAUGGCGGAUUUGGCUACUAUUUACACGAGCAUCACUCUUAAGGACUUCUAGUUAUUACUUCAAUGGUAUUCUCUAUUAGUUAUCUUUUCCUUUUUCUUUUGACCCAAGGGGAGAGGGGUUAGGAGAGGGCGUGAAAGUUAUAUCUUACAGUUAUCUGACUAGUGUCCCUACCAACUAAAUUAGGUCUUGAGGGCUUCAGGGUUUUGUUUUUAAGAGUUUUUGCAUGUAAAUGAACAUGUAAGUAAAACUUUAAUUUUUUAAUUUGCACAACAAGAGUAGUUAGUUGCAUGUCAAAUAUACAGAUUUCAAAUUUCAAAUUUACGUAGAGUUAAAUUGCUUCCGAUUGCCGCACUUCAAAUUUUCUUAAAAUAUAUACUUGUGAGUAGAACUUUUUUUUUAUUUUUUAUUUACAUAGCAAGCAUAGUUAGGUGCAUGUCAAAUGUAUAGAAUUAAAAUUUAAAUUUAAAUAGGGCUUAAAAUGCUUCCAAAUGCCCUCACUUCAAAUUUUCCUAAAAUAUAUACAAAUAACCCAUAUAAGGUUUUUAUGUUUGUUAUGUGUGUCGGCACAGAAUAAGCAUGCAAAAUAGAGGGAGUGGAUCAACAUACAAUUCAAACAAUACCAUUCACCUAAACUUUAAUAUAAAACCAAACAUCUUGCCUACUUCUUAUUCUGUGCAUACAGGAUUGAAGAACCAUAUAUAUAUAUAUAUAUAUAUAUAUAUAUAUAUAUAUAUAUAUAUAUAUAUAUAAAUACAUACAUUCAUACCAUAUGUUACACGUAUCCAAAGAGUAACUACUCAGUUUUGUUGUCAUGCGAAUUAUGUAAUUCACCCAAAAAGGAACACCUGGUUUAGAACAAACUCGUAUUAUAGUAUAUUAAAGACUUUUCAUGUUAAAUACAAUUGAAACAAAAAAAAAAGGGAAAGAAAAUGCCUGCAAACUUUUUACCAAAUCCAAAGAGCUUGAGCCGGGGUUCGCAUGGUAGAGGUCUCAAGGAACUCAUUGUUGCUUUUAAAGUCAAAACCACCCUUCCUUGCAAAAUUUCCAGAACUUAUAUUCUAAUUUAACUUAAAGAGUCAAAACUCUGUCAAUCUUUGAACAUUGAAUGGAGGAUUUGACUAUGAGUAAAGUGGCUUAAGUGGAUUAAUAAACAUGAAGAAUCCAAAUAAUAUGGCAAAGAUUAUGUGAAAGGGCGUGAAACAAUUACCAGAAAAGAGAUGAUUGAAGAAAUUCCAAUGACAGAGAAGCAUGCAAGAAAAACUAUCGGCAUGCAUGUAUAGAUACAGAAAAUAGGUAACUGCGCAGCACCAAUACUUUUUGACAUUAAACUCAUUAUCCCAUCGAGACAGUCCUCACAUGCAAUCUUCUCACACCAAAUACGCAUGUAAUGUUACAAUUUUUUUUCAAGAAAACUUGUAAAUGUUAAGAGUAAAAUUGGGACUGUCUAGUGUUUAGAUUCUAUAUCAACGUACUCAAAACAUUAUUUCACUCAGACGAUAGAGUGAAGCAAUGUACAUAUUCAUCAAUCCAACUUCCUGCAACCAAAGGAACACAUUUACUACUAAGCAUAUUUGAAAAGAUUGGUGAAUGAGACUGAGAGUUCAUAUUUGAAUAGGAGAUCGAAAUUUAAGUUAAACUGGUACGGUUUGUGAUUUACAUAUUGGUACAUUUUAUUAUAUUCUUGUGUAGGAUUUGAUUAGUCACGGCAAACUGGGCACAUGCGUACAAAAAGGAAAAAACACGAAUCUGAAAACACAUCCAUACUUUUCUAAUAGUAUAAUAUAAUAUAAUGAUUUGAAAACAUUGUAAUCUUUGAUAUUCUUUGCUCAGUCUUAUGAUAUGAAAACUGAAAUAAUCGCUCAAUUUUAUUAGCAACUCCGAAUUUGUUUUACUAAACAACCGCAUUAGCUAAAUCUUUAGAAGUUAAAACACUAGAAUUCCACACUGGUUAAGGUCUUUGAAUUGGUUACUUGUUUGAUGAUAAGGAUUAAAUAGACAAGUGACUAUAAAUAAAAGAAACUACGUUAAUUAUAAAAAACAAAAACUUGGGGGAACUUCUAAAUUUUUUCUACUUUCCCUCUUGUGAACUCCUAAUCAAGGCAUGCAUUACAACCCUAGUUAGUAAAAGUUCGCAUUCUACUAUGUUCCUAUGUAUGAUUUGAAAAAAUUUUGGUAUUACAUGCCUGUCACAAACACACUGAAAAAUCUAACUUUUCAACUAAUCAUAUCAAAGACGUAAUCAACUUUUGUCAAAUUAUACUUAAGAACAAUACUUCAAUUUCAAACAAACUUGAAGUUUGUAAAAGGAUCUUCUGAGUUAUAAGCGAAUUGGAUGGAAUUCAUAUUUCUAUAUAUUUAUAGAUAUAAAAUGGAUAAGUUUUUUUUUUCUUUUUAGCCGGGGAAUGAUGAGAUUUAAGGAGUGAAAAUGGGAAAAGUAGUGAUAAGUGACUAAUUUACGUAAUAAUUGUAUGACAUUUUAUAUUAUUUUUAGUCACUUUGGUUAUAUUAUUGAAAGAAUAUGAAUCAUUUUGGCUAUAAUUGGUGAAUAAAUGUUUUUAAGUGAUUAAAUGAGGUUUUUAUCACUUUUUACUUGGAUUUUGUGUAUUUUGACAGUUUUGACACAUUUUCGUAUUUCGGCUAUAACUUGAGUUACAAUGAUCGGAUUGGGAUGAUUCUUGAACCCAUUUGAAGAUAAGAGAUAGAUCUACAACUUUGGUGAAGACAUCUAAAUCCAGUUUGAAGGUUUUCUAGGUCAAAAUGCCGAAUUACAAUAGAAAAUUUCUACUGGUCGAAGCUGGAACAGGGCAAUGAGCAGGUAAGGGUAUUUCGGUCAUUUAUCAGCCUACACAGAUCCAAAUGAGGUGAUUCUUGAUGCAUUGGAAAGCUAACGCAAAGGGCUACAAGUUUCAUGUUUUGGUCAAGAGCUAAAUCAGCUUUUAUCAUCAAGAAAAAUGCAGUUGAAAUUGAGUCAAAAUCGGAGCAGAGCUGGAAAUUGAACCAGAAGUGACCAAAUGGUCACUGUAUCAAUCCGGCCGGAAUUUGGCCGGAUUUAAGGCCGGAUUUCUGGCCGGAUUGCGGUCAGAAAAGGCUGCUCUGUACGCGUAAAACUCAAUUUCACUCCCACCAACUCACAUGUGAUGCUAUACAUGUGAGAAACAUUCCCAGCUGUAAAAGGGAGAUGUAAUCCUCAUUUCUUGACCACCUUUCAUCAUUAAAGAGCCAAAUUCAUUGCAAGAAGAAUGGAAUGGGGGGAUCCAACAAGAAAAUAGAGAGUGAGCUACGGGAGAAAGUUUGAAGCUGCAGAAAUGUAGCUCUUUCAUCUUCCUAGUGUUAGUUUAGCUUAGUAUAGAGUAGUGUAGCUUUUCCAUUCUUGUUUAUUAUCUAGAUUAGGAUGAAGAUGGAGGAUGAAGAAGGCAAGGAAGAAAGCUCAUGUGACAAGGGUUGUAUUCCUUCCAAACUCUUUAUCUUUUGUAUUUGAUUCCAAGUUUAGUUAAUAUACAAGUUCUGGAUUUUGUGUUCAUUAUGUGUUUCUAAAGUUUAUACCUUGGGUUUGGUUGAACUUUCUAUGAUUGUUAGUGUUAAUUGUUUGGUUAUUUGAUUGCUACGAUUUGAGCAAGUUAUUUAGCACUUUGGCUUCUUAAAUCAUGAUUAAUCUGGUACCAUUAAUUGUGAUUAUCUAAGGUGUUGUUUCUGCAAUGAAAAUUGAGAUUUAACACUAGUUCAAGAAGUGCUAAACAUAGGGAGUACACUCACGAAAGUAGAGGUGCACUUAUGUGGUUUUUAGUGAUUCAUUUCAUGUAAUUUCAUUGAAGAAAUGAACUUGUAGCUAAUUUCAUAACCAUGAAAAUAGGUAUGGAUUAGUUAUGAGUAUAGUUGAUUCACUGCGAAAGUAGGUUUCAUAUGUUUAAGGAAAUUACACCAUAACUAGCCUAGAUGUAGUACUUAAUGAUCCAAAUAUAGCACUUGCAUGAGUAGUUAGGGAUACCACAACCUAAGGAGCUUUCAUUUGCUAUUUUCUUGCAUAAUUUCAGUAGGUUAAAUUUGUUAUAAUUCAUUGAUAGUCUAAAUAAUAGAGAAGCUUUAGUAAUACCGGUAAUUGUUCACUCUUCCCUGUGGGAUCGACCCGAUAUAUACCCUAAACUACUAGUUGAUCUGUAUACUUGCAGUGAACGGGUGUAAUUCGAUAUUUUUUAGCUUGUACGUAUGUAAAAUACCCGUCAAGUAGUAUUAGACCCAAGACGUUUGAUUGCUAAAGCCAUAAAACCAAUAAGAUGAUAAAACUUCAGUUAAAAUAGUGCCUCACACAGAAGGAUAAUGCUUUUAUAUUAACACAGUAUAAUAUCUUAAAAUUAUAGUAAGUUUACCCGCACUUUUAGUUGAUGUCUACAUACUUUUCUGAUACGUAUUUAUGUUCAUAAUCUUGUCAAACUCAUACUUCUUACACCAAAUUAUAAGUAUAUAAGAAAAUUUUGUAUAACAUAGCUUUUCAUAGUAUUCCUAUCCCUUAUUAUACUAACUAGGGUAAACAACCUAAAUAGGCCUAGAACUUUUAAAUUUGUAUACUUAUGUCCCUAACUAGUGAAUGGAUGACCAAGUAUUUCUGUCAUUUUAAACUGUUAACCUUAAUCAAAUAUACUAAUUAAAAUGACGUGGUCAUUAUCUUCUUCCUCUAACCAUGUCUGGUGGGUGCUGUAACUCCUAAGCCCCAACCACCAGUCAAUCACCUUUGACCACCACCACCGAUGAACGAUCCAUCAUUGCUGUUCCAUUGUCAAAUGUUGGUGAUACUAAGCUCUUAACUCCAUUUCUCAUGUAAAUUUCAAAUUUAACUUCAGCUUUUAGCGAAUCUUGUUAUGUAAUACUAGAUCUAAAGUCAAAUGUAGCACUUAUUACCACCUAUUUUUAAAUCCACUGGCAUUUUUUCCCACUCUUAUCAAGUAAGAUUCAUAGAAAAUAUUGUCUAAGUUUGAAAUGAAAGCAAAAAAUGCAGUGCAUGAGUAUAAUUUUAUUAAAAUUUGUUUGUAGAGUACCUUGAGUUGGUCGGGGUUAUUAUCACUUUACUCCCUUAAACUAUAUCACUACUAUCAGUUUACCCCAUAACGUUUUCUUUUAGUAAAUUUACCUCCAUAAGUAAUUCAACUAACAUGUUAAGAAAUUUUGGACAAAAAUAUCCUUUUAUUUUAUAGCAUUACUAUAUUGUUAUUAUCACUUUAUUCGUUUAGAUUAUAGUGAUACAAUCACUUUAGUUCUUAACAUUAUUUUCUUGGCAUUUUACCUCAUCGUUAAUCUAACUAGUAUGGUCAAAAUAUUUUAAAUAUAUUUACCAUUUUUAUAUAUAAUUAAAAAUAAAAAAGUUGGAAUGGUUAUUCUUCCUUUUUUUCACUUUAAGAGAUCGAAAAACAUAAAAAUAAAAGGGUUUUUUCAAAUUUCUUUUUUUCACACUUAUUAAUACUAGGAAAAGAAAAAGAGAUAGGAAAGAAGGAGACAAAAAAAAUUAGAUUUUGCAAAAAAAGAAAAUAAAGAAAAGUCUAACAUUAUCGUAUUAUUUUAAGAUUGUCGAAAUUAGGAUUGGAAUUUGGUGGUAAACAAAAAAAGUGAAAUAAUUUUAAAAUAAUAAAAGUAUUUAAUUCUUUCUUACUUAUAAUUUUUAAAAAAAGAAUUGAGCUCUCUCUCUCCCUCUCCCCCUCCCCCUCCCCCUCCCCCUCCCCCUCUCCAUCUUUCUAUUUUUUUUCAAUAUUAAUAAGAUUGCCAAGAAGAAAGAAAUUAAUACUUUGACUUUUUUUCUUGAUACUAAAAAUGAGAAAAGUCACUCUAAAUUUUUUAUUAUUUUUAUUAUGCAAAGAGGAGGGUAUUUUCUUCUAUAGUUUUUUAACUUGCUAAGUUGGUUUAAUGGUAGGAUAAAUUGCCUAGAAAAUAACUCUAAGGGGUAAAUUGAUAAUGAAACUAUAUUUUAUGGGGGUAAAGUGAUAAUAAUUUUAAGGAUUAAACAUAACUUUUCACUUAAUUAACAAAUUCUGUUAAGUUUGACUAUUAGUUUUGGGGGUAAAGUGACUAAAAGAUAACGUUAAGGGGAAAAUUGAUAGUAGCACCAAACGUUAAGGGGGUAAAGUGAUAAUAACCCAGUUGGUCGAGAUGGUAGAGCUGGUGUCAUACUUUCCUGCCAAUCUAGAUUCAAACCUCUCCUGGAAACAUCUGUCCAUUGCACAAGACUUGCCUACCUUGUGGUUGACGGGCUAUUGCACGGAGUGAAGUUUAUCCGGUGGUCAAUCAUGAAUGAAAGGUCAUUGGCCGGCAACAUGGAGUUAAGCAGCCACCUAUUGUGCAAGGACCGAACUAGGAUCACGGAAAACCAUCCUCAAGUUCUAGAAUUUCAUACUUUCUUCAUUAAAGAAUUUUAAGAAUCUUUUAAUUUUUCUUUUUUCUAAGCAUAAAUUUCCUCUAUAUAUUUAGCUAUUCGACCCUCCAGAAAUUUUCAAAAGUUUUUAUGUUAUGUCAGAAAUUUACAUGUGCAUUCAUCAAUCAUGAAAACUGGAAAUGUAAGAGGGAUUUUUAUCUCUGUAACUAGCUUUUUUGCGCAAAGCGAAGUUUUGCCACUAAGCUACAUCUUUAACUUGGCUAGUUUUUGCCAGCCACGCAAACGCAUGGCGGUGCCCAAGUACAGUUUAGCAAUUGCAAAAUAUGAAGUAGAUGUUAUUAGUUUAUAAUUCUAGUGCUUCAAAAUGAAAAGUUGUAAGAGUUAAAUCGAAAUAAUAAGUUGGUAAUCUCCAUAGUUAUUUAUAAUGACCACAUAAAAUUCUUAAUAGCAUCAGAAUGAUGUUAUGAUAUAUCCUUAAAGUAAGAAAUCAAAAGGAAAAUCAUGGGAAGGAUGGAGGGAGAAUCAGUUGUUUAUGUUUACAAAGCCAAACUUUAUAAUAAUGCACUCAUUGAUAUUAGUCUAAGUAAUUAAGAAAUUCAAAUCAGGCAUAAGUACAAGAAAAACAACUGUGAAAAGUCAACAUUGCAGUCUGAAAUUAACUCUCCUUUGUAUAUGUUUGGGACAAAUUCAGCAACGGCUUUCCUUCCAUUGCAUCUAAUAGCAUCCUUAUCAUGCCCUAGUUAAUAUAAGUGGAUUUCCUAAUAUCAAACUGCAUUUCUUGAAAAAGAAAAUCUUCAAUUGGAAAAGAAUACAAGAUAAUGAAAUUCAACAAAUAAAGAGUACAGGAGAAAGAAAUUUUUAACUAUCACUAUAACCACAAUAUAUAUACCCCUAGCAAACAUAGCAUGCUAAGCUAAUAAGAUAAUCCAUCAUUGCAAAUCGAAAUCUAUGCACCUAAAAAUCAAAUAUCGGCACCUCCAUAUCAGAGGUAAAAACAAAAAUAUAGACAACAAACACGCUUUUCUUUUCAAUUAUGUGUAAUCUUAUAUUGAUCAACUUAGCCCAUAGAAGGCAAAGAGAAAAUGUAUAAAGUCAGGAAAAAGAUACUCCUAUGUUCUAAAGCAUGCCUCUAAGAAAAAAACAUUUCCAUUUCAAGGACGGUAUACAUGGGUGCAUUACAUUUGCAAAAUUUCGAAUUAAUGAUUCAUUUAUUCAUGCUUACAAAUGACUAUUUUUUCAGUCGGGCUAGUUACUCCAUUUGUACAUUAUUUUUGCUCUUUAAAGUUAUUAAAGUUGUUAUCAACCAAGAUACAAAGUGCUUAGCAGAUUUUAGACAAGCUAGUCUCUAGGAAUAAAUUUAUUUGUCCUAUCCUGAUCAUUCAAAAAAUAGAGUUUAAAUCAUUUGGUGUAUAGUUUAAAAUUGAGUUGUUCAGUUUUCAUUGCAAAACAGAGGGAGAUAAGCAACUCAACCUACCAAACCAGAUACAUAGUAGCUCUGCAACAAAAUCAGUGCAUUAGCUUAGAGGCUCAAUUUAUCGGCCAUUUACAUUUAUUGGCCAUAGGAUAUUUUUACCAUCUGUUUCCUAGCUUUGAUUAUGUCAUUGUUCUUCUUCUGAAUAAUAAAGCGAAGAAAGACAAAAUCUUGCUAUCGAAUAUACAAAUAAGCAGAUAGGAUAAUAUUGUUAACACGCGCAGGAAUAAUCAAUCUUCCCAAGGAGCCUAUACAUCAAACAAACUAGGUAAUAAUAACAAAAAGUUAAGCUUAAGCACACAAAGAUUGGUCCCACAAUAGAUAAGUUCAACCAUUGAACUCUUGCUAGCAUAUCAACAUCACAAGGUCCUGAAAAUUUUUAGGGAUAAUUUCGGAAUCCUCCCUUGAGGUUUCUAACAAUUUCAAUGGUCUUUCUUGAGGUUUAUAAAAUUAGACUUACCUCCGUUGGCAAAAUUGUGGGCCCAGUUACUUACAUCACAAGGGAAAAAAUUACUCGUAUACCCUAAGACAUUAUGUCUUAUUAGAAACUAAUAUCUAACAAUGAUGUAAUUAGAGCACUGAUUAAUUAUUAGUAAUUGAUUUAUGAAAAUAACUUUUGAAAAUUUCUUUAAUGAUGAACAAUGACUUGCAAUUACAAAAUAAUGCCAAUUGAUAUACCACAUAGCAAGUCAUAAACAACCUUCUUUUGUCCUGUAUAUUUUUCUUCUACCAAAUCCCUUCUUCUAACAUUGUGUAUAACUGAUUUCUAUUCAUUGUUAAGUUCUAUCAGUCACAAAAUUCACCUUUGAUCAAUGCAACAGAGUUUCUUAUUAUCAUAUUUUAUAGUAUAUUGAUCUCACACUAUUUACUGUAUUUCAUAAACAGCUAUGUUCUCUUAUGAUCGACACAACAAUUUCAUCAUACGAUAACUAACACCACAACUUUGUGUAUUAAAUUGAGAUAAUAAAGGAUUGUUAAUCUAUCAUCUUUUGAUUGUCAUAGAUUUUUAACAGAAAAAUUCUCAAAUUUUUGCCUUCAUUUCUGCUUUCUUUCUCCUUUUGUUUCAUGAAUGCAUAAGAUGAAAUAAACUCAACCAAAAUCACCAAAACUUAUUCUUUUAUGAAACCUUAUUGGAGGUUUCUUUCUCCCACAUUUUCUUGCUUCUGCUUCUCUUCUAUGUAGUAAAUAUAUGAUUUGUAUUGUCCUCUCAACUGUUGUCAAUCACAAAAUAGUACCAUGUUGGAGCAUCAAAAUGGCACUAUUUUGUAAGUGCACUUACAGUGCCUAAUCAAACAAAAAAUAACUGUUAAUUUUGUUUAAUCAGUUAUCUUAGACUUGUUUAUUGCCCUAAUUUUUUUGGCCCAAAUUUGUUUACUAACAACCUUAAACUCUUAGGGUAUAGAAGUGAAUUUUUCCUAGCUUAUGUCAACUAUAGACCCUAAAUUCAUGCUAAGGGAGAUUAGUGCUAUUUUCCAAAUCUCAAAAGGAGGUGAAUGCAACUAUCAAAAAUCUCAGGGGAGGUUUAUGCAAUUAUCCCUUAAAAGUAAUUUCAUGUAAGUAAAGGAAAAAGGAGGGAAAGAAAGACAAAGUUUGAAUUCUGUUUUAUUCAAAAUUACAAAAAUCAUAGCAAACAUUAUAUUAAAAGAGAUUACUAGCCUAUUUUGCUGAGUCUUGUGAUCAUUAGUAUAGGUUUGUUGCUUAUUUGUGUUGUUUAAUGUAUUUAAUGUGAACUUUUUGAGUAGUAAAAUGUGUAUAUUAAUUGUUUCUAACUUUUAAUUAUUUUGAUUCUUUUACUAAUACAACCUAUAUACAUACAUAAAGGGUAUUUAUGGUAUGAAAGUUUCAUCUUUCUCCUUAAAGUACUUUUUUAAUGUUACUUUUUCUAACUUAGACUAAUUUUGUUGUAAAAACCUUAAUCGCAUGGGAGGUUUGUGUAAUUUUGCAAAUUUCAAGAGAGGCUAGUAAAAUUGUCAGAAACCUUAAGAGAGGUUUAUGAAAAUAUUUCAAAUUUUUAUGCAAACAAGGAUUGUAAUUUUUCGCUGAAAAACUUUUACAUUUUUGUUGAACACAUUUCCCAAUCAUAUUUUUACCUUACAUACAUUAAAUCGCUACGGUACAUUUUCUAUAAAACUCCUAAAAGUAGCAAUCCAAACAAGGUCAUUGCAAUUUUUUGUAGAAAAUUUUUACGUUUUUAAUGAACACAUUUCUAAAUCAGUUUUUUACCUUAUACACAUUAAAUCGCUAUAGUAUAUUUUGCUACAAAAUUUUUUAAAAAUAGCAAUCCAAACGGGAUUCUAAGGCCAUUAACUUUAUGAGUGGAUAUUAAUAUGGCAAUUAGGGGUGGACAAAAAUAUUCGCUAAUUCGAAGAUCUAAUCCGAUUUGAAAAUUAGGAUAUCCGAUCCGUACUAUUUGACCAAAUCAAAAGAUGGUCGGGUACCCACUUAGAUGCGAAGCGGGUAAGGGUCACAUAAUUAAAAAUGCGUGGCAGUGCCCAAGUACUCUUUAGAAAUUGCAAAAUAUGAAGUAGAUAUUAUUAGUUUAUAAUUCUAGGGCUUCAAAAUGAAAAGUUGUAGGAGUUAAAUCGAAAGAAUAAGUUGGUAAUCUCUAUAGGUAUUUAUAAUGACCACAUAAAACUCUUAAUAGCAUCAAAAUGAUGCUAUGAUAUAUCAAAGUAAGAAAUCAAAAGGAAAAUCAGGGGAAGGAUAGAGGGAGAAUCAGUUGUUUAUGUUUACAAAGCCAAACUUUACAAUAAUGCACUCAUUAAUAUUAGUCUAAGUAAUUAAGAAAUCCAAAUCAGGCAUAAGUACAAGAAAAACAACUGUGAAAAGUUAACAUUGCAAUCCGAAAUUACUCUCCUUUGUAUAUGUUUAGGACAGAUUCAGCAAUGGCUUCCCUUCCAUUGCAUCUAAUCGCAUCCUUAUCAUGUCGUAGUUAGUAUAAGUGGAUUUUCUAAAAUCAAACUGCAUUUCUUGAAAAAGAAAAUCUUCAAUUGGAAAAGAAUACAAGAUAAUGAAAUUCAACGAAAUAAAGGGUAUAGGAGAAAGAAAUUUUUAAUUGUCAAUUUAGCUAAAGUGUAUAUACCCCUAGCAAACAUAGCAUGCUAAGCUAAUAAUAUAAUCCAUCAUUGAAAAUUGACGGGUUCUUGUUAUAAGUACAGGUUUAUAUCUAAAAUACACCUAUUUGACUGCAAGUAUACAGGUCAAAUAGUAGUUUAGGGAAUAUAUCAGGUCAAUUCCACGAGGAACAACAAAUGCAAAUACUAGAGCUUUACUUGCUCUAUUAUUUGGACUAACUAUCAAAUAAAGCAAUAGAAAUCACAAUACUUACUAAUCAACUAUCUUAACUAUAUGUAGAGUCUACUUAUGGCACAAAAGAUACAAAUGAAUAGAUUUACCUCUUAUUACUACUCUUGUUUAACUAGGGAUUCAUUUUCAUAUUUACCAAAACUCAUUCUCAUGAUGUAAUGGGUUAGACUAGUUUAGUUUUUCCUAUUUUCAUGGUGAAUAACUAGAUCUACUCUUGUGUUUUUUAUUGACAUGCGCGGGGUAUACAUAUAACAUUUAGCUCAUCCACAAUCAAUUUUUACAUUUAUAAACUCUUAAAUACCCCCACACGCAUCGCAAGUAUACGAAUCGUGAGCGAGUAUAGGGUAUUAAAGGUCGAUCCCACAGGGAAGAGGCAACUACCGGUGUUUUUCGAAUUCCUUUAUUAUCUAGACUACCAUAAACAUAAAAUUAAUGAAAAUAAUACUAGAAAGCUCCUAGAGAUAUGGAAUUCCUUACUAUACUUGCAAAUGAGAUUACCGGUUAAGUGAAUCCUAUUAUCUUGGCUAGUUAUGGCGUAAUUUCCUAAUGUAUGUGAAACCUACUCUCGUAGUGAAUCAAUUAUACUUGUAGCUAAGUCAUACCUACUCUCGUGGUUAUGAAAUUAACUACAAGGUCAUUUCUUCUAUGAAAUUACAUGAAACAAGUCACUUAAGCCACAAAGGUGCACCUCUACUCUCGUGAGUGUACUCCCUAGGUUUAUCACUUUCUUAAACUAAUGUUAAAUUUCAAUUCUCAUUGUAAAUUUAACACCUUUAGAUAAUCACAAUUAAUGGCCGGUUAAUCAUGGUUAGAAGAGCAAAAGUGAUAAAUAACUUGCUUAAAAUAAUAUCAUCACAUAACCAAAUACACAUCACUAACAAGAUAUAGCAAGUUCAACCAUAACUCUAGGCAUAAAUUUUAACUAAACAUGAAAAUAAGAUCCAAACUUGUAUUAUAGUUUAGCACGAAAUCAAAUACAAAAGAGAAAGUGAUAGGAGAGAAAUCACCCUUGUCACAUGAGAUUCAAACUCUCCAUCUUUACUCCUCCAAUCUUCAUCCAAAUCUAACUACAAAUACAAGAAGGAAACACUACACUAACUAAUCUAUACUAACCUAACUAAUGAACUAAGGAAACUCUAGUGAAAGUUACAUUUUUUGUGAGUUUCUCUAGCCUUCCAAAGUUGUCAAAAUAUCCUCCAAAGGCUUCUAUAUAUAGAGGAUUCAAGAGCCAAAUGAGUUGUUUCUAGUUGUCAUUUUUUACUCUUAAAACUCUCUAAGUUUGCUUCUCAAAGUUUCCAUACUCAUUUGAUCAUUUCCAGUUGGAAUCUUUGCAGAAAAAGUGGUUAAAAAGGUUGUGUGAAAAUAGCACAAGUUGCAGAGGAAGUUGCAGUCGAAAUCUACUAAAACGCGGGUAGAAAACGCGGCCUGUGCCCGCGUUUUAGCCCCCGUUUUGAUCUUUGCAGUUUUGCACUUUUCUGGGCAGAAUUCAUCCUUGCUUUGUUUUUAGUCCAACUUCAACUGAUAAUUGCUCAAUGUUAGAGGUUGAACUAGCUCUUGUGUAAAACAUGAAAGUUGUAGCCCAUUGAGUUAGCUUUCCAUUGCAUAAGAAUCAUCCAAUUUGGAGCUCUUUGGACCAAGAAAUGACCAAACUACCCUUAACUAGUCAGAACCUUGUUUCAGCUUUCGACCAUGAACAAGCACUUCUGUAUUUUGGCUUUUUGACAAGGAGGACAACUGAACUGGACUUCGAUGUCUUCAUACCAAAUGUAAAUAUGUCUCUUAGCUUCAAAAUGAUAUAAGAAUCACCUCAAUACGAUCAUUGUAGCUCAAUAUAUAGUCAAAAUACCACAAGGUGUCAAAGCUGGAAAACCUUUCUUCUUUUGUUCUUGAUUGCAUUUCCUAUCUUGCACUUCAUGUCUUCUUUAAACUACUUCAAAUCAUCAUCAAUCAUCCAAUUAUCUUCUCCAAUCACUCCAUUUGACGAUUGAAUCAUUAAACCUACAAAAACAUGAAGUUUUCACCAUAAAAAUCCAUAGAAAUGCAAUCUUUGCCACUUAAACCACAAAAUGCAUAUUUUCACUAGAAUCUUAGUUAAUUAGCUAUAAAACUAACUAAAACACACCAAAACUAAAUAAUAAAACACACUAAAAAUACGUAAAAUAUCUAUUUGUCAUUUAUAAAAUGCAAGAUAAUCCACUCAAGUGCACCUCUAUUCUCAUGAGGCUACUACUUAAGUUCCAUUUAUGUUGUUCCAUCAUUAUUAUCAAUUUUCAUUGAAUAACAAUAACUGAAAACUUGCUAUUGGUGAUCAAGCAAUAACAAGUGAUACGCAUGCAUAAAUGGACAAGUUAAUGUAAGAGGUAGCAAGUGUAAAUCAUAUUCAACUCACAUUAAGUAGUUUUCAUCUACUCUCUAGAUUUAGAAAUUUAGCUACUCAUGGGAUAUAAAGCAAGAAAGAACAUAACUUCAUUGCAUGAACACAUAUUGAAUCACAAGUAAAGAGAAAGAUAAAAAAAAGCUUAGGCAAGGUGAUGAACAAGCUCCCAAAUCUUCUAUUUCUUCAACAAAAUGAGUGUACAAUGAAUUCUCUAAGUUUUUCUUAAAAAUUUCUAGCUAAAGAAAAUAAGGAAAGACUAUGACUAAGAACUAUCAAGAACUUGCAAGAACUUUUCUAAGAUCCCCCUUUUUCCUCACUGAUUCUUACAUAUACAACGUUUAGAGAGUCGAAAAAGUAACAAUUGAUAUGACAUAAAGCUCCUUUUCUCUUCCCUAAAGAAUCUUGAGCAUGUGCAGCCGAAAUUUUGAUUGGAAUAGAGUUGGAAAGUAAUGUGAAAAUAGAGCAAGUUGUAGAAAAACAGAGCACAAUACGCGACCUCUAAAUACGAGACCUAAGCCCGCAUAUCCAAGGUCGCGUAUUCGCUUCUGAGACGUGUUCUUACUUCUUUUCUGCUUCAAUCGAUCAUUAAUAUCAUAAGCAAGAUAUCCAAGUGUUUGGUCAUGCAUUUCACCAAUAAUUCUUGCGUUUGAUGCCCUUAUACUUUCCAAAUUACCGUUGAAUGAAGUACUGAUGAGUUCAAAUUAAAUCCAUCUUAAUCCACCGUUGAUAAUUCUCCUCAAAUCCUGCAAAUAUAACCAAGUUUGCACGUUAAAUUGCUUAAAUGAAACUUGCAAAAUUUAGAAGUUUGGAGAGCAAGUUACACCAUAAAAAAACCUAUUUUAUACCAAAAAUAAACAUAAAAUACUACUUAAAAACACACAUAAUAAACACUUAUCACAAAUUGAAAUCUAUGCACCUAAAAAUCAAAUAUCGGCGCCUCCAUAGCAGAGGUAAAAACAAUUAUAUAGACAACAAACACGCUUUUCUUUUCAAUUAUGUGUAAUUUCAUAUUGAUCAACUUUGCCCAUAGAAGGCCAAGAGAAAAUGUAUAAAGUUAGGAAAAAGAUACUCCUAUGUUCUAAAGCACGCCUCUAAGAAAAAAAUAUUUCCAUUUCAAGGACAGUAUACAUGGGUGCAUUACAUUUGCAAAAUUUCGAAUAAAUGAUUCAUUUAUUCAUGCUUACAAAUGACUAUUUUUUUAGUCGGGCUAGUCACUCCAUUUGUACAUUAUUUUUGCUCUUUAAAGUUACUAAAGCUGUUAUCAACCAAGAUACAAAGCACUUAGCAUAUUUUAGACAAGCUUGUCUCUAGGAAUAAAUUUAUUUAUCCUGUCCUAAUCAUUCAAAAAAUAGAGUUUAAAUCAUUUGUAGUAUAGUUUAAAAUUGAGUUGUUCAGUUUUCAUUGUGCAAAAUAGAGGAAGAUAAGCAACGCAACCUACCAAACCAGAUACAUAGUAGCUGUGCAACCAAAAUUAGUGCAUUAGUUUAAUGGCUCAAUCUAUCAGCCAUUUACAUUUAUUGGCCAUAGGAUAUUUUACCAUCUCUUUUCUAGCUUUGAUUAUGUCAUUGUUCUUCUUCUGAAUAAUAAAACCAAGAAAGACUAAUUCUUGCUAUCGAAUAUACAAAUAUGCGGAUAGGAUAAUAUUGUUAACACAUGUAGAAAUAAUCAAUCUUCCCAAGGAGCCUAUACAUCAAACAAACUAGGUAAUAAUAACAAAAAGUUAAGCUUAAGCACACAAAGAUUGGUCCCACAAUAGAUAAGUUCAACCAUUGAACUCUUGCUAGCAUAUCAACAUCACAAGGUCCUAAAAAUUUUUAGGGAUAAUUUCGAAAACCUCCCCUGAGGUUUCUAACAAUUUCAAUGGCCUUCUUUGAGAUUUGUAAAAUUACACUUACCUCCCUUGACAAAAUUGUAAGCCCAGUUACUUACAUCACAAGGGAAAAAAUUAUUCAUAUAUCCUAAGACAUUAUGUCUUAUUUGAAACUAAUAUCUAAUAAUGGAGUAAUUAGAGCACUAAUUAAUUAUUAGUAACUAAUUUAUGAAAAUAAUUGUUGAAAAUUUCUGUAAUGAUGAACAAUGACUUGCAAUUACAAAAUAAUGCCAAUUGAUAUAUCAAAUAGUGCUAUUUUGUGAUUGAUAGAACUUAACAAUGACUAGAAAUCAGUUAUACACAAUGUUAGAAAAAGGGAUUUGGUAGAAGAAAAAUAUACAGGACAAAAGAAGGUUGUUUAUGAGGAAAUUUUCUUUGAAACUCUUAAAUCUGUGAUAGUUUAAAGUAGGGAUAAUUGCAAAAACCUCCCCUAAGGUUUUUGACAGUUGCACUCACCUCCCCUGAGGUUUGAAAAAUAGCACUAACCUCCCCUGAACUUAAGAUUUUGAUAGCAACUUCAGCCUAUGUUAAAAAAAGUGCCAUUAAAAAAGUCUUUUGGAAAGUGAGAGAAUAAUUUUGUUUCAUUUGUACCCUUUUUGCCUCUUAUGAGGUAGUAUUAGUAAAAGAAUGAAAAAUAUUAAGAGAUGGAAACAAUUAGUGAAACUCAGAGGAUAUAUGUGCAAAGAGAACAAUGGCAACAACAAAAUCUGGAAGAAACAACAAAUAUAUGUUUAGAAACAUAAGGUUCUAAAGCACAUAGAGAGACUGUUGAUCAAGCACGAAAACUCACCUUUGAUCAAUGCAAGAGAGUUUCUUAUUGUCGUAUUUUAUAGUAUAUUGAUCUCACACUAUUUACUGUAUUUCAUAAACAGCUAUGUUCUACAAAAAUUUUUAAAAAUAUCAAUCCAAACAGGAUUCUAGGGUCAUUAACUUUAUGAGUGGAUAUUAAUAUGGCAAUUAGACGUGGACAAAAAUAUUCGGUAAUUCAAAUAUCUGAUCUGAUCCAAAAACUUGGAUAUCUGAUCCGUAUUAUUUGACUAAAUCAAAAGAUGGUCGGGUACCCACUUAUAUUAGGAAUGAGUUAGACUCACAUAAUUAAAAAUCCGUGGAUACCCAAUCCAACCUACAUAUAUAUUUUUUAUUUUUUUAUUUUUAUACAUAUACUACAAAAUAAUAGUUUUAGAGUUAAAUAAGCAAUUUCAUUGAACAAAUUGCAUUACAAAUAUGGAAGACUGUAAUUUGUUUAUAAGAUUCAUUUGUAGAAGUCACGAUCUUAUGUUUUUCUAGAAAAGAGUUUAAUUAAUGUGUAAUAUAUAUUUUAAAAAAAGGUACUACUUAUUUCAAAUAUUCAUUGAUUUUGAAUUCUUUUUAUUUUUUUCCUUUUUUCUUGUAUUUUCUUCACAUGUUUGUUUCUUGAUGUGAAAUUUUUUUUUGAGAAAAAAUCUUAUGAAUAUGUAAUAGACAAAAUUUUUUUUUUUUUAGUUAUAGAUUACUAAAUAUCUUCGUACACAAAAGUUCAACCUAGUGCACUAGUUUACAAUUAUACAUCGUUUAAGGAUGGCCAAAAUUUCUUGAAUGAGGGUUCAUUCUCACAAAGGUCAUUCCCUCACUGGUAUUGGGUGUAACUAAGUUUACCUCAUUCUCAUUCAGUAAAACCUUCUCAAUUUUUUUUUAGAAUGAAUUAUUGUUUUAUAAACUCAAGAGGAAAUCAACAUGGUUGCACAAUUUUGCAACAUUCUCGGCUCCAUCAACCCGCAAAGUUAUCCUACUCUCCUCCUCCUGAUCGAAGGCAUGCCUAACCUAUCUAAGCGAAUUUUCCCGUGCGCCAAACUAGGAAUUGCACUGAACUGGUCAUAGAUGCUCAUAGUGCGAUUGUGAGCAGAAGCGCCUACAUUUGCUAGUCUGUCUGCCACCCUGUUACCUUUUCGAUAACAAUGAUCAAACCCCGACGCAUCCUCAGCCAAGCCCCAAAUCUGUUCUAUCUCCCUUCAUAUCACUCACAGGCACUGCAACCGUCUUUGAAGAAUCCCAACUAGGGUAAGUGAAUCCACUUGUAUACUGACAUUGGUGAACUCCUUGUGCUUGCACAGGUGGAGACCCGUUAAUAGGGCCAAAGCCUCUGCCCGCAAACUAGUAGUUUCCCAAAAAUACGCCGAAAAAGCAAAUAAUGGCAAUCCAGAAGAAUCACGUAGAAUUCCUCCACCACCACUCACUCAUGGGCUGCCCUUGGAGCAUCCAUGCGUAUUUAAUGUUAACAUCCCUGCCUCCUUCGCCUUCCAUCCCACUAGCUGGUAGCCAUAGCGAGUUGGCGUUUGCGCUGUCCACUCAUAUAGCUGAGGAAAUGUCUGCACCGCAACCCUCUGAUUGAACUGGACUUCUAUCACUGCUUUCACGUCCAAAAAAAUGUCCUGACAAAUCCUCAAUAUUCGCAUCCGGAUCCCCUCAUAAUACGCUUGAUUCCGAACCUUCCAAAUAUGCCAGCAUAUAUAGUUUGGAAGAACUAAGAAAAGGAAUCGUCUUUUUUCUGUGCGUGGCGCAGACAUCCACCAUCCCGUUAUCCGUGUCCGUAGUGAGGAGCCUAGCUAUGCCAUCCUACACAACCUAUCAAAAUAAUCCCAUACUCCCUUUCAAUCUUACCCUUCGAGAAAAGAUGCUCCAAGGUCUCAAUCGAUCCCUCUUGGCAGCACAAACAUUUUGAGGUCAGUUGUACUCCCACCCUCCACAAAGUACCAGUUAGUGGCAAUCUCCCCAAUAGCAGAUGCAUCAUGAAGAAAGAGAUUUUCAAUGGAAUUCACGAAUGCCAUACCUGAGAUUGUAUUAAAGAAUAGUUUCGAGACUGUCGAACCUCCUGAAUGGCUGAUGCCAAAGUGAACCUCCCCGAUGCGGUCAGCCUCCAUAUAACCUCAUCGCUCCCAUCUCCCUCCGGGACCGGAUAUUAUAAUAUUGGGUGGAUAAACUCUUACAGAAUAUACUGGGUGAGCAAAUUAAACUUCCAUUCCCCAUUCGUUCAGAAGUCCUUGAAGGUGAGGGCCGGAUAUACCGAAGUUUUGAGGCAUAGAGCCCCACUGCCCAACCAGUUGUCAUACCAAAAGUUACAAAACCCUACAUUAACCAGCCAUAGCAUGGAUAGUUCUACCAGUCGGCUUGUAUUUAACAUUCUUCUCCACGUCCCCGAGUCAAAUCGUUUCCAUUCCACCUGGCAAGGAUGAAGCUCCCUGCAGUAUUUUUCCCCGCAUAAAAAGCGACACACCUAUCCGAAAGUUCCAUCACAAUUUGCAAGAGAAGGCCGAGUAAAGAUCCCGGAGCUUUUUGAACCCCACACCCCCUCCUGAACCGGAAGGCAUAAUUGAGACCAUCUGAUCCAAUGAAACUUCAUUCCUUCUCCUGAUGAUCCCCAUAGAAAAUUUGCACAAGCCUGCUCUAUUCUUUUAAACACCGAGGCAUGACACACGGCAGCUGAUAAUAAAUGUACUGGAAUGGAUGAGAACACAUGCUUUAUCAAAACUAUUUUUCCCCUCAGGAAAAUCAACCUUGACUUCCAAGACAUAAUUCUAGCAAGCACAGUCUGACAUACCUCAUCAAAGUACACAGAUUUGCUUCGGCCCAAAUACAAGGGAAAUCCAAGAUAACGAAUUGGAAACUCCUAUCUAGUAAAUUGCGUAAGCCGCUCAAUCACCCUUCUCUGAGCUGUUGGUAGGGUCUUAUGAACCAAGUAUCCACUCUUUUGUGUGUUUACCAGUUGUCCUGAUGAAUGCUGGUAAGCAUCAAGCACCUGCACUAGCCGUUUUAAAGCAGCAGUAGCCCCAUUCGAGAAUUAGCACGUCAUCAGCAAAUGCUAGGUGCAUGACUUCCGGACAUCCCAUAGGGACUCUGAACACUACGAAGCCCUGCUGCACUACUAGAUUAUUGAGGUCUCGCGAGAGUAUCUCCGAACCAAUAAUGAACAACACUGGGGGCAAUGGAUCUCCCUGCCGGAGACCCCUGCUAGAUUUGAAGUAACCGUGGGAUGUUUCAUUAAUGAUAAUUGAAAAUCAGACGUUAGAAAUUAACCUCCAGACCAUGUCUAUGAAUCGCUCCCCAAAUCCAAAUUUGCGCAAGACAGAAAUAAUAUGCCACCAAGACAUUCGAUCAUAUGCUUUAGCUAUAUCCAGCUUUAAGGCGACAUUCCCUCCUCUUGAUUUCUUGCCUAUAAGCGAGAUCAGCUCCUAAGCUAACAAAUAGUUAUCUGUUUUGUUUCGACCUUUGACAAAAUCCGUCUGCUGGAGAGAAAUAAUUUUCGGUAGUACCGAGGCCAUACAUUCCACCAAAAUUCUGGAUAAUAAUUUAUUGAAAAAAUUGUACAGGCUAACUGGUCUGUAUUUGGAGAAAUCCUGGGGAUUCGAACUUUUAGGUAUCAAAACAAUUGAAGUGGAGGUAAUGAAUCUAGGCAGUUCACUUCCACAGAAGAAACUCACCACCGCCUUAUGCAAGUCUUGCGUAAUGAUAUCCCAUGUAAAGGUAAAGAAUCUACCUGUAAACCCAUCAGGACCAGCCGCACUCUCCCCAUCCAUAGUGAACACCAGAAGCCGAAUGGCCACUAUGUCAGGAGUCUCCUCCAACAAUGAAUUUUCUUCUCAUGUGACCAUUGUUGGGAUUAACUGCAAUAGCUCCCCCGGACUGGACUUCAUAGACCCUGAAAAAAGAUUCGAGAAAUACUCGAUUGCCUCCUUUGCUAUGUCAUCAUCCUUCUCUAGCCAAAUCCCAUUUGAAUUUUUCACCCUAUGUAUAGCUCCUUGUACUCUCUUUUGCUUGACAACCGCAUGAAAGUACCUUGUAUUGCUAUCCCCACUACUAAGCCAUUUAACCCUGGUUUUCUGCCUCCAAAAUUGUUGUUCAACUGCCAGUGCCCUAUUAAGCUCCGUCCGUGCCCUUUGAAGCUCAUCAUGUUCCUUCUCAGACUCAGAGUUUGCUAUGCCGUUCUCUAUCCUCAGAAGCUUGGCCUCCGCCUCUUUGACGGCAUUAAAAACGUUGCCAAAGUGAUGCUUAUUCCAUUGCUGAAUCACCCUCCGAGUUGCCAACAACUUAGCACACAAAACUCGUAGAGGUGAUCCCUGUACCACUUGGUCCCAAGUAACCCAAAUGACGUCUAAGAGAUCUAAUUUGAAUGCCCAUAUAUUCAAGAACCUGAAAAGUUGCAGCCCAUUAUCCAUUCUCGAAACAAAAGAAAGUUUCAUCGGGGUAUGAUCAGACGGAUGUCUCGCUAAAUGGACAACAGAAAUCAUCGAGGCCAAAUCUGUGCACUCUCCGUUAAUUAGGCAUCUAUCUAGCCUCUUCCAAAUCCUAACCCGUCCCCUCCGAUUAUUGCACCAUAUAAAUCUCGAUCCUGAAAAACCAACAUCGAAUAUCUCGACCUCUUCCAUGAAUGCCAAAAGCUCAAUUCCUUCGUCCAUAAAGAAUGGUCGCCCCCCUUAUUUUUCAUUAGCAUCUACAAUGACAUUGAAGUCUCCCCUAACACACCAAGGCAGAAAGCGGGGUUUAUCAGAUAAUAAAUUUUGCCAUAAAUCCCGCCGUCCCUCUACCGAACACAUAGCAUGGACAAAAUGAUAAGAUCAAGGGCCCUGGCAACCAUGGGUGUUGGAUAGACAGUGAAAUAUGCUGAUUAGAGUUACCGACUACCGAACAAAUAAACGGACAACUAUAGAAAAUCCAAAGAUCCUCCGAUAUGUUAACAAUGGCAUAAUCAAAUGAUAGCCUCAUGCGAAUAUACUCGACUCGAGAUACAUCUAAUUUUGGCUCAGAUAUUGCUACAAACUAGACAUCAUGCAAGCGAAUUAUUUUUUUCAAUCUUCUUAAAUUGGACGCUUUCAACACCCCUCUAAUAUUCCAUAACAGUGUAUUAAUCAUAACGUAAUACCUGGAAAGAGUUAUUGAGAGAAGUUGUGGACCGAAACUGUCUGUCAGCUUGAAGCUGAGCACGUAAUCCCUUUCCCCUUGCCUUCCUACCAUUCUUGGCAUUCCCACCAACCGAAUUGAUGUUUAACCCCAUAAGUGAGUUAUCCAAAUUCUCCUCUCGCAUGACCACCAACCUUGGCGAUAAAUUACCCGCCACCAGGGGCAAUUCAAUCACUAUCUCAUCGACGCUAACAUCACUGCCCUCCUUGUUUAGCUCCAUUGCUCUCGCCUCAUGCACUCCUAAGCCCUUUCAUCACCACCCCGCUCCAGUCUGCUAGCUGGUUGUCUCCACUCCUCCUCCACUGAACCAGUUAUCCCAUUCGAGGUACCAGGUUGCUCUUCCGCAGGUUGCUGAACCGGACAGCAUUGCUCCUGUGAAGCCGCAUCAGCAACCUCCUUCAAUGUCUCCUGCUCUGCAAUUUCAAGAUCACCUGCACCGAGCUGCUUAGCCACACCUCCAUGUUCCCUCACCUCCAUAUUCACUGCCUCGCUCUAUAUAGCUGCCCCUGCUGCCAUAUUCCCAUCCAGGCUGCCCAUGCAGCUUAUCUUAGCCCCAAUGCAUGGAACUGGAUCCUCCCCACCUGUACGUUCAAGCACCACUUCAGGCCCUGCAACUGGGUUUUGUUCGGCACGCACCCUCCAAUUUCGUCGGGUUUCCACAUUUACAAGCUGCUCCACCGAGUUCUUUCUGCACUCCUCCACUGCAUGGCCCAACCUCCAACAAGAGGAGCAAUAGGAAGGUAGCCCCUCAGGAACAAUUUUCUGCCAGAAAUCCAUCUCCCUUUCCACUGCUACCCACACCCUGGUGCAGAUAAGCUCCAGCAAGUCUAUCUCCACGCACACUCGUGCUACACUCGAACGCGAUGUAGCUGCCGUCGUCGAAUCUAGGAACAGAGGUUUCCCUACCGGUGAAGUGAUUGAAAAUAGCGAGUGCUUAUCAAAGAAGUGAAUGGGCAACGCAGGUAAAGAAACCCAGACCGGAACUAGCGACGACUCCUUAUGGACGUGAAAAUCUUUUGUCUAGUGGAAGACACGAAUAGGAAACUUCCCCAACUGCCAUAUACCUCGCGUCCAAAUUCUGUUGAAAUCCACUUCCGACGCACACCUGAGGAGAACAUGGCGAUAAUCUAACAAGCCAACAGAGAUUUGGUCUUUUGGAUUCAGCGUAGUAAAAAACUUGCGAAUUUUCAUCAAUGAAGGCCUUCCAUGAGAGAACUUUCUCACCAAUACCCAUCGAUAUGGUGCUGCCAGUUUUUCAGCAUCUUGUUUGGAGAAGACCACCGCUGCUUCUCCUUUGUAAGUCGUCACAAGUUUCACACGGAUGGGAGAAGAGGCAAGUUCAGUAAACAAUUGGGAAAAGGACUUUCGCGCUGAUGGAGACAGCCCUUGCCCCUCAGCCGAAGGCUGAAGGGCAGCCAUAACUCACGGGCAAGCCCUAUUUUUGACCAAAGAAAACUGGAAAAUGAAGAAUUGAUGCACUUGUUCCUCUCUCGGCUUCAAAGCUGGAUUUCCAGAUUGUUCUUAGUUCAAUACUAGCUGGAAUUGGUGAAAUGAGUAGCAGGCUGUCUCCCCAGCUUGUUAGUUCUCCUCUCUCGAUUUUUGCUUUAUGGAUUAAAUAGGAUUUGGAGAAGUUUUGGCUGAAAUAGAGUCACUCUCUCGGCUGACCAGGGAUAGGAGGAAAUGGGAUUACUUUUGCUCUCAAAACUCUCUCUUUCUCGGCUGGUCUUUUGGAGAUAGAAUGAAAUUGUUUUUGGGUGAAUGGUUUGAGUGUUAUGGCUGAAGGUUAGUGUUGUUAGUGAGAAGAUUAGCUGAAACAGAGGUUAUUGAGGCAUAUUAACAAACAUAAACAAGGCAAAACUUAAGUUCUUACGGUUCAUUAAGUUUGGACAGAUAUGAAAUCCCAAAUUUUACCAAUAACCAGAAAGAAUAGCUUUAAGAUCAAAACCUUUCUCUAAUCAAUUUCAUGAGUUAGCUAUUGGAGAAACUGUGUACUAGAUUUGGAAGGAAAGGAAUAGACACGUGUUUAAACUUCCGGGAAUAAGCACUGUUACUUUUAAAUAAUUUAACUCUCUGGCAUGUAUCAACAGACAAGUAUUGCAAAACCUUUAAUAUACAAAACUAAAUUUGUAUAAAUCUUUUUUUAAAAUUAAAUGAUAAGUGGGGCAGGUACCCGUUGAACCAAACCUAUCUCAACAAAUACCCGAUUAUCAGUUACUCGUUGAUAUGCCAGAUAGAUAAGGGUUAGAAAAUGGCAGAUCAGCAAAGUGUGGGUCGGCUCAACCAAAUGGUGCACGAGGUGGGUACUCGAUCCGUGCCCACCCUUGAUGGCAAUGGAUUGGAAAUUUCCUAACAACAAUAAAUAAACUUUUAUUUUGUAUUCAUGGGUAAGUAAUCCAAAAUCCAAUUGUAUAGCAAAGUAUGAGAAAAAGAAAAUAACAUCAUUGAUAUAACUUUAUUUUAAUUUAGUGUGUCUACUGAUAAGUGCAUAUUUUGUGCAUUUUAAGUGUGUUUUAUUAAUUAGUUUUGGUGUGUUUUCAUUAGUUUUAUAGCUUAUGAACUAAAUUUCUAGUGAAAAUAUGUAUUUUAUGGUUUAAGUGGUAAAAAUUGAAUUUCUAUGGAUUUUAAUGGUAAAAAUUUCAUGUUUUUAUAGGUUUAAUUAUUCAAUCAUCAAAUGGAGUGAGUUGAGAAGAUAAUUGGAUGAUUUUUGAUGAUUUGAAGAGGCUUUAAAAAUAAUAUGAAGUGCGAGAGACGAAAUGCAAUUAAGGGAGUUUUCCAGCUUUAACACCUUAUGGUAUUUCGAUUAUAUCUUGAGUUACAAGCAUUGAAUUGAGGUGAUUCUUAUUUCAUUUUGAAGUAAACAAAUUUUGGACUCUUAAGCAUUAUUUUGUGGGAAGCUUGUCAAUUAAAGAGGUAGUUCUCAUGCAUGGUUUCGACUAAGACAGUAAGACCGAUCACUUUACACAAGUCUCGUAGUUCUUUCUCCGUGUAGUUUGCAGAGUAAAGUCCAGCUCGUGGAAAUGGACUCCAGGAGCAUGCAACAUAGGACCAAACUACACAGAGAAAACAAAUCCUUCAGGAAAAUGUAACAUAGGACCCAAGAGCUAUUAAAAGAUAGUGUGAUAAGAGGUCUAGCCUCUCUCAUGUACUAUUUUUCAAAAUAAAACGAAUAAAUAAACAACAAACUUAGCUUAGGUCCUUAGGCUAGUAAUGUUGCUCUGUGAUUCUGUCCCGAUAUUACAUUUGAUAUAUGGAUGUGUACAAUCAGGGUAUAUAUUAUCGUAUUGAGUACCUGAAAUAUCCAUAAUUGUUGGAGAGAAAUUGCUUACUAUUGCAAACACGUAUAGUAUUUAGGGAUAACAUCAGACAACUCUCAAUAUCAUUUAGCACCCCUAGGGUUUUAAAAACAUUACUUCUCUCCCUUACUUUUGCUAUUUGUGUAACAAAAUUUUAAAGAUCCUAAGCUACCCUUUUGCUCAUUUUACUAAAUAAAAAUACUCCUAAACCACUUUGUUACUCCAAGAAAAAUAGUAAUCUAAAAAACAAUCUCUGGUAGUAUCAUCAUAUCACAAAGGUAUAGUCCAUAAAAAUAUUAAUUUGGAAAACAACAAGAUAUUUUUUCCAACCUCUUCUCAACUGGAGGUAUAAACCUUUAAGUUGUACUAAAUCAUUAUACAAAUUUAUUCAACAUAAACAAAGAAACCAUACCCCACUCUAUCAUAAUCAUAAGAAAAAGCAUAAAUAAAAUUUAAUUUACUAUAUUUACAAUAUUUAUGAAUUAAAAAUUGCAUAUUAUCUUAAAAAUGAAUAAGAGAAAAUGUUGAGAAAAGGGGAAAGAUAAGAAAGUGAAUUUUAUUUCUUUUUCUUUAAUUGUUUUGAGUUUCAUUUAUUUAAUUUAUAAAUUAUGUAUCCAAUGAGGGUUAAUAUAGCCAGUUUACAAUUACCAUGAAAGGCAAGUGAUAUUUUAAAAACCUCAAAAGUGCUAAUUAGGAGAAAUUUCAGGGAAGGUUUCUGAUCUUAUCCCUAGUAUUUAAGCUAAAUUAAAUUACAUAAAUGCCCUUUAAGAAUAAUGUUGCUCAUGCGUAUUUGAACAAGGCCAUGCACCCUCAAAAAAAAAGGGCAUGCAUACAUGUUCGAUGACAUGGCAGAUGUAUUGACGACUCAUUUAAUGACAUGGCAUGUGAAUUCAUAUUUAAUGUGGCAAAAGCUUAAUAAUGGCAUUGGGGCAAUUGGGAUCAGAACAUCAUAGACGUAUAGAUGCAGACACUGUUAUAGUUAAUGUAGACAUUAAUAUAAUAAGAUGAAAAAAUUUCUCCCACUGAAAUUUAUGCCUGAAAAUUUGUUGUGUUUUUAUAUGUUAUUGUGUUAGUAUCUAUAUUUAUUAUUUUAGUGCCUACAUCUGUUAUGUAUGUGAUUACGCUAUAAACCCUAUUGUCAUCAUUGGUAACAGCAGAAACCCCUUAGGUGGACAGUUGGUGCCAACGUGGACUUGCCAAGACAAGCCAUAAAAAUUAAAAUAUCCCCAAAAUGUACAAGGAAUGGUUAGACUUUGUCAAAAUCCAGAAUAUUUACCAGUGCAACUAGCUAAUCACUUUGGAUUUCCACAUGAAUUUGCUUUGUGUUUUCCUUCAAAAACAAUUCAAGUGGAUUCAUCUUUUUUGGGGAACACAUCUUCUAGAAUUCAAAAAAGAUUUUUCUCAAGGUUUGCAAUAUAGCCCAUUACCAUUAGAUCACAAUGAGAGUAGCAUAUAUCAAUGAAAUCAAAUAGGGCCAACAGCUUAAUUUCUUUCUUUUUUUUUUUUUGGAUAAACAGCGAGCAUGCAUUAAUAUCGAAAGAUUAAAACAGAAGGAAUGUAGUCGAAGCUUCAAAGUAGGCCGAAGACACCCAAAACCCAUUAUGUUAGAUUUCAGAGGUUUCCUUUCACAUAUGCACUUUACAAUUCCAGUUUCCUUUCCUCACUGAAUUGGGAAGCUCUCUCGAUCCCUGUUCAUGGAAUAAGUUCAAAGACAAGAAUGAGAUGUAAAAUGUAUGAAUGGCAUCUAUUGCUGGGAAACUGACUAGUCAAGUCAGUUAUCAGGCAUUUGGAUCUUGGCAUUGCAAGCAUGUUUUACGUUGCCUGUUAGAAACAACAUAUACAGCUGAGUGUUUUCUCAAUAACGUUUGGUGUACAACCAAACUUCCUCCAUUAGCUUCAAUUGCAAAUGCUCUUAUUUUACGUUUCCAAAUAUGUUUGUUGAAGUGGCAGAUGGAAAUUGAUAAGGUUUUUGGACACUGGUCGUUGUCGUUGGGGGGUAAUUCUAUCACUGUCGUUUGGGGGGUAAACUCAUCAGAAGUGAUAAUCUGUAACUGCUCCAUUUGGAUUAGCUUAUUUUUCAAAAACAAGUUUUUCAAAUACAAUGUUACAGUAAUACACAAAUAAAAAAUAACUUAAAAGUAUUUUAUACGUACAAAACAUCAAAAACAACUCACAAAUAUACACAAAAAAUUUUUAAUGUAUAAUGCUAUAGUAAAAUAUUUUAAAAACAUUCCAAAAAACAGUUAAUCCAAACCAUGUCACUUGUUAGACUUGUACGGGUGUUUAAUAUCUGCUUAGGUGGGCGAAACCUUCACAGCAUAGGGCAUAAGACUCACCAAUUUUGAGUUUUUUAAUAUUAAAAAGCAUAAAAAAUGUGUUAAUUUUAAAAAAAUUACAGUCAAUAAAUUAUAUACAUGUACACAAAUAUGCGUACACACGUAUUAUGUACACGCACACAUGCACUACUAUACACUACUAAUAAAUACAAAAAAUUUGAUAAAACUAAGAAAUAAAAUAUAACUAAAUAUUAUUCUCUAACGAGUACAAUCUUAUCAGAAUCAGCACAACCGUAAAUGUUUCAAACAAAUACAAAUCACAACAAGUAUCAAUAUGGAAUAGUAAUUUAAACUCACAAUCAAACAAAAUAUAACAAACUUACGCAAUAAAAUCAUGGACGACAAACUUAGACAAUAAACUUAAUAUCCUGAAUUUUAUUCUAUUUUUACUAGGAAUUAUGACCAUUGAAGUGUCCAAAUUAUAAGACUAAUGCUCAAUUGCUCACACCUGCAGCUUAUGCUCCGUUCAAAACAAAAUAAAAAAAAGGAUCAAGGUCUAAAGUCUAACCCGUACAUUAGUCAUCUAAUCAUAUUAGCAGAGAAUAAUCAUAUCUUGAUAUCAAUGGAAAAGGAAGAAAUGUAUGUUUGAAAGAAAAUUAGGUCUCAAUGAAGACUUAAAAAAAAAGGCCAAAAUGGCCCAAAUGUCCAGGCGCGUCCUCUACAGUCAAGGAAGAACACCCAACAAGACUUAUAGCACAAGCAAUUGCCUUGGGCCAUUUGAAGAAUGCCCCACUCCAGGGCUCACCCCAAUAAUGCAUUUUAAAAUGCUAAUCCGGAUAAAUUACAAGCUUGUCCAGUUUAACGCACCUUUGCUUUGCUUUCAAGAGCCAUAAGCUUUGACGGAACAAUGAUCCAUGUACUGUUAUAGGGCACUCAAUUUUCAAGAACUUCACUCAGUGUUUGACGAAUGAUGAAUUCACUGUCACUGGCGCAUCUCAAGUGAAUCCUGUUCCAUCUUUUGGAAUAUGCUUCAAUAUGUUGCUUGUAGAGCCAUGCACGAGCUAAAAGGAGCUGAGUACUUGGGUUUUGAGCUCGAUUUGAUUAUUUAAUGAGCCCAACUUGAGCUUGACCAAUAAGUCAAAUGAGUCUGAAAUUGUGUUUGAGUUUGACUGAUAAAAAAAAAAUUUCUGGGUUCAAGUCCAAACUCGAGCUUGAAAAAGCUCAAAUAAACCUGAAAGUUCUACACAAAAUUUCAACUUAACAAGUCCAAUUUAAUGAACCUACUGAAUAGGUAAAACACCAAAUAAAAGAAGGUACUUACAUGCUUAAUACAAUAUAUUUUCUAAACAACGAUAAUCUAAGUAUACAUAAUAACCAAAGCAAAUUAGAUAUACUAAGUCCAUCACACGUGUAAACGAGAGCUGAGUCAAGCCUGUUUCAUUUGCUAAACGAGCUUAAUUUUAUGUUCAAACUUGACUCAUUUAAUUAAACAAAUAAACCAAGCUCCAGUGAGGUUUCUCUCCAUUCUUCACCUGCAUUUAUGGUAAGAAACCAUGCUGAAAUGGUAAGAAAUAAAUCUAGAAUCGUUGUUAAUUAUAAACAAUUACAGCUGAACUUGCAAAUAGUUUCGUUCCUUUUAAGAGCUCUAGUUGCCUCCUUCAGUUCCCAAAGUCAGUACAGCUACUCUUGUGAAGCAAAACCGCGACACUACCGGGAGCGUUUACUGUUCAAAUUCCAUUGUCCAAGCUCCAAUGGUCUUGGGUGCAUAUCAGUUGAAGGAUCAGAUAUUUGAGUAUGAUCUGCUUAGGUCUCGGUUGGGUUUAAGGUUGACCCUAAAGGCUGAUUCCACUACCAGUGACAAGUUCAAAUUCGAUCCUACGCCAUAAGUUGGAUAACGACCAGAAUGAUUUGAUCAUUUUGCCAUGGAUAU
RNAcentral lists this long non-coding RNA (54485 nucleotides) under Coffea arabica (coffee). RNAcentral describes it as "long non-coding RNA (CARA_LNC001981)". The stretch from base 2732 to 2838 matches the Rfam family "Plant small nucleolar RNA R71". Lineage: Eukaryota; Viridiplantae; Streptophyta; Magnoliopsida; Gentianales; Rubiaceae. The record is from RNAcentral.